GAGCGGGUCAAUGCUAUUGCUUCAAGGAAGGGUUGUACUCCAUCACAGCUAGCGUUGGCCUGGGUCCAUCACCAAGGCAAUGAUGUUUGCCCCAUACCUGGCACUACCAAGAUUGAGAACCUCGAUCAGAAUAUAGGAGCUUUGUGUGUAAAACUGUCUGCAGAGGAAAUGGCAGAACUUGAAUCUAUUGCUUCAUCUAUCAAGGGUGAGAGAUAUGCGUCUGACGCUGGCACUUGGAAAACUUCUGAAACUCCACCUUUGUCAACCUGGAAGUGCACAUGAAGAAGAGCAAGUUCACUUUGAUAUUAAGUGGACUUACUGUUCUGGUUUUGGCUUGGAAGAGCACAUGAAGUGCAAGUUUGGUUUGGUACUUCGUUGGAAGACCACAAAGUGCACAAGUUUGGUUUGAUACUUUGUGGACUUUUGUUUUAGUUUAGCUUUUCUUGUGGAAUAAUCAUCAGGUACAACAUGUUAUGUCCUGAGUUCCGGAGCAAUCAUGAGGUAGAACAGUAUUAUGUCCUGGUUUCUGAAUGUAAUAAAAUCCUAGCGCGUAGAGUUGGCACAAAUUAACUUUUGUGCAAAAUUGCUUAUUAGGUUUCGGCUGUGCAGCUAUUUGAACUUAUCGGGGAUGAUUUCACCAUAGAGAUGUAAUGCAGUUGUAUUUUGAACCUAUAAUUUAAUUUGACGUUUGUAUGUUGAUUUCCUAUUUUCUACUUUUAUUAUGAUACUUGCUGUUUGAGAGAGGUCAUUUCAGUCGGGCUUCGCUGAGCCGAGCUCCCCCUUCUCUGAAUAAAACUCUGUUAAUCCUCACCUUGGCCUCCUUGUACCGAGACGAGGAUCACACACCUAAGGUUGAACCACCCGUUCCUAUUACUCCGGCUACCGCGGUCACCACCCUAAAGUUUCAUUGUGUCUGAUGGAACGGGCGAAGUCAGGUCAACACCUACACGGACAGGACGUCUAAUAAGACAUGUCCUCAACACCGACCUGUCAAGAUAGAUUGACAUGCUCAGUCUUUUAGAUUCUAGGAAGUUGAAUCCUACUGUCAUUCCCUUCCAAUUGUCUCCUAUAAAUACAGAGAUUUCACUCAAAAAAGCACACGAAAAAAAAAUACACUCUGUAAGAACUACUCUAACGAAAAAUUUCACUACUUUCCAUUCCAAAAAGAAGACUAACUACAUCGUUGGAGGAAAAUUGGGGGAUUCAGCCCCAUCUCUAAUAAUUUGAGCAUGUGACUUCCGCAAGACAGUACCCACUUCAGGAGGUCACUCCCGCACUUUGAUACAACUUGUCAACUCCAAAAAUUAUCUCUUCAAUUGGCACCGUCUAUGGAAACCGCAAAGACAUCCAAGAAUGAAACCUACGCGUUCUAGGAGCAGGAAGGUUCUCACCAUUGAGGCUGAGCCAAGUGCUGCAGCCCAACCGGAAAAUGUUUCCGAAGAACAGGAGUCUCAUGAGGCUCGACCCACGAAUGGAGAAGCCAUGGCCCGAAUGGCAAAGUUUGUGGCUGAGAAUCCUAAUAUUUUCAAAGAGUUAAGAAGAUAUUUCAAGAGACAAGGUAAACAAAAAGCCGAAUUUUCUAAGAGAAAGCCAGAUGAAUCUUCCGAGGUCCCAUUCGAGGAAGAAUCGGAUGGAAGACAUUCUAACAGGAGCACCCCGAACGGGCCUCAUCCAAGGUUAUUUCGAGAAUUGCCUCCAUUUCUAGGGCAAUCUUACGGGGUUUCCUGGGGAAACAAGUCGAAGACGAACCUCGCGAUCGAAAAGGUUGGAGGUGGAUUACAUGAGAGCUCCGCCUUUCACGGAUAGCAUUAAUGAAGAGAGGGUCCCCCCCCCAAACUUUAAACUCCCAACGUUGCUACCUUAUGAUGGCCGAGGUGAUCCUGAGAAUCAUCUCCAUGCUUUUAUCUCAGCUUUUCGAUUAUCUGGUGUCUCUGACUCAGUUAUUUGUCGAAUUUUUCCGGUCUUUCUUCAAGAGACUGCUCGAAAAUGGUUCUGCGGUCUAGAAUCUAGGAGCAUAUUCUCCCUAGGAGAGCUGAUGAAUAAAUUUAUCCAUCGGUUUAUAUCUUCCAGGCCAACGACAAAGACCUCGGCCUAUCUGCUAAAUAUACAGCAGAAUUCGGGGCAGUCUCUCCGUUCUUAUAUACAAAGAUUUCAAGAUAAGAGCGUGCAGAUACCUGAUCCUAACAAAAAGGUAAUCAUAGCCGCCUUUACAAAUGGGUUUAUUGUCGAAGAGUUGAACACCGAAGUGCACAAAAAAUACCUUCGAACACUUCGGGAAUUGUGGCAAAAGGUCGAGAAAGGCAUACAGUCUGAGGACUUGAACCGCAUAAAUAGAGAAGCCCAAAUAGCUUGAUCAGGGCCUGAUUCCCGAAAGAAGAAGGAAUCAAGUCGAGGUGACCCUGGCACUACUGGCGGUUUUCAGAGUCUCAACCAAGAUCGCUGAAGCGUCUUUGACCGAAUUGCCAAGGGAAAGUCGUUUGUCCCUGAUUCCGACCUAACACCCUUAAAUACCAACCGAUCUUAUAUCCUUGCUCUCAUGGAGCAGAAUCACCUCGGACGUGCUCCCCCAAGAAUGGCCGGAAAAAGAGAAAAGAGAAACUCCAACCUCUAUUGUGCUUAUCAUCGAGGUAUUGGACACGAAACCGAGGAUUGUAGCGAUUUGAAGAAAGACAUUGAGAAUUUAAUAAAGCAAGGGUAUCUGAAACAAUUUGUUCGCAGAGAUGGAGACCACAACAGAAGUGACUCCCGCCGCGACAACCGAGGUGAGCAACGCCUGGAGGAUAGGCAGAGACCACGUAGCAGUUGCCGAUCCCUGAGGAUCCUAGGAAGACGAGAAGGCCUCUCCAAGGUGGGUCCUCCGAUUAUGGGCCGAACAUAGUCGGGAUUAUCAACACCAUAGCUAGAGGUCCUAUGGAAAGGGAUAGUUAAAACUCCUGAAAAAGAAUCUAUAAACAGGCUAAUCCAGAACAGGUCGAGAGCAGCUCCCGUCUUACUGAGACAAUCACGUAUGGCCCAAGUGACCCCGUCCCAACUGCUUCCAGUAGUCACGAGGCCUUGGUGAUAGAGUUGCUCACCAACAAUUAUAUAGUGAAGAAAGUGUAUGUCGACCCCAGCAGUUCGAUAGAUGUCAUGUAUUACCGAACCUUCAAAAUCUUGAUAUUAACCAGGGAUCAGCUCAUAUCUGUAAAGACCCCUUUAGUAGGGUUCAGGAGACACGUGGUCCACCCGCAAGGGAUAGUUACGUUUAUGGUGACCAUUGGGUGCCACCCUUAAUGCCGAACCAUUUCUGUCAAUUUUGUCGUAGUCAAAGCUAAUUCCCCAUAUAAUUUACUUAUGGGUCGACCCACCUUGAAUGCGCUACAGGCUGCGUAUUCAACCUAUCACUUAAGCUUUAAAUUUUCAACUCUCACAGGCAUCGUCGAGGUAAGCAGCGAUGUCUGUGUAGCAAGAGAAUGCUAUUUUGCUACCCUGCAGGCCGCCUUUUCUUCAACGGCCGAACCGAAAAUUGAGGAUAGGAGGUCUAAUAUUCUCUCGAUAGAUUGUAUAGAUCCUCAACAGUCCGGGAAGCCUAAAAAGCUAGAGACCAAAGAUGAGGUAGAAAAAAUUCCUCUGAAUCCUUUGAACCCGGAUCAAACCAUUCGCGUUGGCACCAGCCUAUCUGAGCCUCUCAAAGGCGAGCUAACCUUCUCAAAGAAUACCAGAACGUCUUCGCCUGGAUUGCCGAACAAGUUGUGGGGGUACCCCAUCAACUUAUGCUGUAUGAACUGAACGUCGACCCGCGUGCACGACCAGUUAAGCAAAAGAGGAGGCACUUCGGCCCGGAACGCAAUAAAAUCGUAGCCGAGGAGACGAACAAGCUCUUACCGGCGCGGAUGAUUAAAGAGGUGCAAUGUUCCAUCUGGCUGUCCAACCCUGUUAUGGUCAAGAAGGAUACCGGGGGUAGAGGAUGUGCUUAGAUUUUACUGAUUUGAACAAGGCCUGCCCUAAGAAUUGCUACCUACUGUCGAGAAUUGACGCUUUGGUCAACUGGAUAUUGGGUUACGAGAUCCUCUACUUCCUUGAUGCCUUUAAAGACUAUCAUCAGAUGAGAAUGAAUGAAGAGUACCAAGAGAAAACAGCCUUCUUCACAGAUCAGGAAAUCUACUGUUACACCACCAUGCCCUUCGGCUUGAAGAACACUCGGGCGACGUAUCAGCGACUGGUUAACCGGAUUUUUAAAUUUCAAAUAGGUAGGAAUGUUGAAGCGUAUGUGGACGAUAUCCUCCUGAAAAGCAAGGAGACCUCGGCUUUCUUAUCCGACGUGAGGGAGGUCCUUAGGAUCCUCCGCAACACUCGAAUGAUGUUCAAUCCCAAGAAGUGCGUGUUUGGCGCGAUUUCGAGAAAUUCUUGGGAUACCUUGCAUCACGCCGAGGUAUAGAAACUAAUCCUGAUAAAGUGAAGGCCAUUCAAAAAAUGUCUUCACCUCGAAAUUUCCGAGAUGUACAAAGACUAACAGGUUGGCUGGCAGCUCUGAACCGGUUCUUGUCCCUGUUUGCUGUCAAGGCACUGCCCUUCUUCAAAGUAUUGAAGAAGACUGACAAGUUCUCUUAGACCGAGAAGUGCCAGUAGGCCUUUGAGCAAAUGAAGGAGCACCUGCACCACCUUCCCACUCUUAAUUCACCACGCCCAGGAGAGAGUUAUAUCUUUACCUGUCUGCUGCUGAGGAGGCUGUGAGCACGGUGCUAAUACAAGAUAAUAGUGCCCAAGUGCCGGUUUACUAUGUUAGCUGAGUUCUCCGCGGGCCGAAGACUCAAUACAUCCGUGUAGAGAAACUCAUAUUAGGUUUGGUUCAUGUAGCUCACAGGUUAAAACCUAAUUUCUUAACUCACCCCAUACGUUUGAGAACAGAUCAGCCCAUUAGGCAGAUCCUGUCGCGUCCCGAGACUUUCGGACGACUCACCAAGUGGGCCAUAGAGCGAGGGGAAUACGAUCUAACCUAUGAACCUCGGACUGCCAUCAAGGCUCUGGCUCUGGCAGAUUUCUUGGCCGAACUCACAUUUCCCGUGAGCCAAGAAGCCACUCUGGAUGACGCCGAAUCGCAAAAGUGGACCUUGUACGUGAACGAGUCAUCUAACAGUGAUGGUAGUGGAGAUAGACUGCUCCUCGAAGACCCUCACGGGGAGGCAUGCUCAUAUGCCAUCUAAUUCGAUUUCACCGCCUCUAACAAUGAAGCUGAGUACGAGACUGUCAUCGCGGACUUACAAUUAGUUCGCAGACUUGGUGCUCAACGUAUUUUAGUCUAUAGCGACUCACAACUCGUCAUAUGUCAAGUACUAGGGGAGUAUGAAACUAGAGAGGAAACCAUGCAAUGGUAUCUCUCCAAAAUCCACCAGUUAGCGGCCUACUUCAAAUCCUUUGAAAUCCAAAGGAUACCUCGGUUCUAGAAUAGGCGAGCAGAUGCCCUAUCCAGGUUGGCCCCCACCUUGUUAUCUGCGCUCAACCAGACUGUUCUCGUGGAGGUCUUAACCGAACCGGAUUACCUAGAGGAUAAGGUCUACCCUAUAAGUUCAGAAGACACCUGGAUGAGUCCUCUAAUCAGAUUCUUAGGUCAGGGUGUCCUUCCGGACGAUAAGGCAGAAACGAGAACAAUUCAGUGCAAAGUGGUCCGAUAUGCACUUCGCGACGGCAACCUGUACAAACGAUCCUAUCUCGACCCAUGGGUGCGGUGUGUUACCGUAGAGCAAGGGCAAAAUGCCUUCCAGGAUAUACAUGAAGGACUGUGUGACGCUCACGUCGACUAUCGGAUGUUGGUUAAGAAGACUUUGUUCCUUGGAUAUUUCUAGCCAACCAUUCGGUGAGAUGCCCAAUUUAGUCCUUUGCUGUCCCUCCUGCCAGCACCAUGCCUAGGAGCACCACCAGCCAACUAGUCUCAUGGUCCCCAUCACAUCAUUAUGGCCUUUUGAGCAAUGAGGGACAGAUAUUAUUGGACGCUUCUCGAGCCGUCGACAAUUAUGCUUAUGUGGUGGCCGCUGUUGAUUAUUUCACGAAAUGGGUUGUGGCCUGACCAUCCAGAAAUUCUUUUGGAAGUGUGUAGUUUGUCGCUUUGGUUUGCCUCGGAUAAUCAUCUCUGACAACGGGAAGCAGUUUGCGGAUAACCCUUUCAAGGCAUGGUACGAAAAUCUUGGGAUCAAACAACACUUUACCUCGGUGGGUCACCUCCAAGCCAACGGUUGGGUCGAGAAUUUUAAUCGAACACUUCUCCACAACCUCAAAACUAGGCUACAUCAGCUCGGAUCUUUUUGGGUGGACGAACUCCUGAGCAUGCUGUGGUCUUACCGAACCACGCCAAGAUCCGCUAUUUAGGAAACUCCAUUUUCCUUAACCUAUGGGUCCGAGGCAGUGGUUCCUGCCGAAUUUCCCACUCCAAGUUCUCGAAUGGUGGCUUUCACUGUCGUGGCUAAUGAAGAAGAGCGAAAAAUGAAUCUCGACCUCGCUAAGGAGAAGCGAGAUGCCGCAGCAGCUCGAGUUGCCUUGUACAAGAAUAUACUGACUAGCUACUAUAAUGUCCGUGUUAGACAUCUUCGGUUCAGCCCAAGAGACCUUGUCCUGCGAAAGAACUUAGUCAGCCAAUCUGAAUCCUAAGGCAAGUUGUCUUCGAGGUGAGAGGAGCCGUAUCGCAUAAUUGAGGUUAGUCAGAAUGGGUAUUGUAAGUUGACUUACCGAGAUGGUACUUUAGUAUCCAGAACUUGGCAUGCUGAGAAUUUCAAAUUGUAUUAUCCAUAAAUCAUUUACAUUCCACUCAAGAUUACUUGUAGUAUGUCUUUUGUUUAUUUAAUUACUUUUCUAGCAUCACUAUCUCGUGUUGUUAAAGAAAAUAAGGGGACAAGACAAGUAGAAAUGGAAUAAGUGACUGACAAUGAAGUAAAACAAGUCAUUGAUAUUAAAGGAGGUAGUUACAAAAAUUGUGAAGUACAAAAUGCCGAGACCAAAGGCUCUUCUAAGAGCCCCUGCCUCGGCUGAGCCCUCACCCUCCCCCGCACUAGCCUCUUCUUCAGCAACCUUGUCGGGCCCAUCACCCUCAGGUGUCAGCUCGAACUCUGCCAUUUCACAAUUGAGCUCCUCUCGGACCUCAGUUAGGUUUUUCUCCGCCUGGAUGCCCUCAGCCAUGCGAUCGCAAAGCUCUUUAGCAUCAUCAUUGUAGCUGGCCUUGUCUUUGAAGAAGUCCAUCUAUUCUAAGGUGAGAAAGGGGGCUACGUCUUGGAUAGCCGAUGUAUAACCAAACAUGAAACUCAGCAGAGUCAACUCGCCGAACUCAUGAGUGAAGGCCUUGGAAGAGCGAACGGCCUCUACUACCGAGCUGCCAGCCUUCUUAAUGGCCUCCCUUGAAGACUGCUCCUCUUCAAGUCAUCGCUUCUUCUCCUUUUCUAAAGCAGUCUUCAAGGAGUUCAUGGUGGUCUCGGACUGCUCCAUCUCGGCCACCACGGUAUCACGCUGCUUGAGGAAUUGGGCCUUUUUUUCCUCAGCCAACUUCAGUUUCUUCUCCAGGAGGGAGAUCUUAUCCAGGAGCUCGGCUGAGAGCUAAUUUUCGACCAUGUUGAUGUGUCUUUGCAUCAACUCGGAGAGAAAGGCCGAGGUAGAGGCCCACACCACUGAAGUGCUUUGCAUCAGCUCGUCAGCAGUGAGCUUCUUGGCGUAGGAGUGGUCUCUUGGCAAGCUGGAGUGGACCAAAAGAUGGUGGGCCACUCUAGGGUCCUUGCAGCGGUCGUUGAUGCUCACAUCCCACUCUGGACAUCAGUGCUAGUCGGGGUGCUUCUUGUCCAUUCCGACAGGUUGCGACUGCACGUAGUGUCGGUUCUAAAGAGAUGACCUCGUGAUCGGAGUCUCGGUCGUUUGAAAUUGCUUGCCCCGGCCGAAGGUGGAGCAGUCACGGUCACACCUCGGGUGGCCACUCCUUCCGAAAUGGCCGAAACUCGGGAGGUGUUCUCGAGGACUACCGUUAGCGGGGUGCUGGCCGAGGCACUAGGAGUGUCCUUCUUCUUCUUCUGUAUUCUUGAGGUCUCACCAAGAGCCUUUCAUUUUUAUUGCUUCUUGGCCACUACGGCUGUGCCUGAGGUGAUCAGAUCUGACACUCUCACAACUGUAUAAGAAGAAGAUAUUACUACUUAGAAUCAAUGGAAAAAAGAACAAAACAAGACAAUGAAUUGAAAAAUAUAAUAUUUUUCAAGCCGAGUAAAGAAGUAAGGAGGGCGAUCCGGGCUGAUUAAAACUUGACUUAUCCCGCCGUUUACAAGGACCACCUCAGGAUAAUUCUAACUGUUGAUCUUGAGACCCGACCCGAGGAGUUUACAAAAGUUCUCCUCUUUAUGUUGACCCAGGAAAGGAUCUUUAGCCGAAGUAGAUGGCCUUCACCAAAAUCCCCGGGGGAACUUCUCGGCAGGGACGAAGAUGAAAUUGCGCUUCCACUCUUUUAUUGAUGAAUGAGCGUCCACCAUUAAUUUCGAGACGUUCUUGUUUCGGUUCUCGAAAUAGAACCAUCCUUUCUCGUUCCCAUUAUUCUUGAUGGCGUAGUAACGGCGAAAAAGGUUCACUAUGGGAUUCAAGCCUUGCUCUCGGUAGAGCAUCUCGAAUCCGAUGAGUAUCCGAACUACGUUCGGGACCAAUUGGGCGUUCUUGAUGCCCCAGUACCUUAGGCUAUUUCGGAAGAAUCUUGUUGUGGGCAUUCUCAACCCUACUUCCAGUUGGUCAACGUAGAUGGCCACCGUAUCAUCCGGGGGCAUCUCGGCUGUUUUGGUCGCCCGGGGUGGAUAGAUGUUAUAGUGUUGACGGAAGGGCUACUUUCGAAUCACCUCGUUCGCUGCGGUCUGACCAAUGACGCUGCUGAAGAAGGGAGUUGGCCAAAAUCUACGAUCAAGAGAUCUGGAGGGGUGGCUGGCUCCUGCACUCCCUCGUCUUGGGGCAUCUCGGAUCCGAGUUUAUUGUUGUACAACACCUCAGAUCCUUCUUGGCUCUGGUCUUGUGAUGUUUCGUUCCCAACGGAUGCCUCGACUGCUUCUUUCCCCGGGGUCGAUGAAGCAUUUUCUUCUUCUUCAAUCAGGUCGGGCCUUUCCGCUGUAUCAUAGUUCGGCCUGACCAUCUCCUUGUGUGUACGGGCUAUCCGAAUCAUAUUGCAGAAAGUAAAAGGGGUGGUGAACUUACUGUUUAUAGAAGAAAAGGGCUGGGGUGAGCAGUUGAAACACUUCGAGUAUUCUCCCUGACCUCGGAUAUUCAGACGUUCACGCAGGGGAUUGCUGUAAAUUUUUGAGGUAAAAGGUUAAUAGCGAGGAAGGACCCCCUAUUUAUACUGGUAUUGCGGGAGAUGAAAGGUCCGCGUCUGUUGAGUUCCCCCAAGACGCACCCUCUCUUCUCAUUUAUGACCAGCCGUCGUUCUGACUGCCUGUCACGUGUCCUUUCACGCCCUGUCAUAAUGACUGACGGCCGUCUCAUCGCCCCUUGCUUUAUCCCAUUUGCUGAUGAUUGAUGUGUUAUCACCCAGACACGUUGAUGACCUGUUGUACCCUCACGAAAGCCCCAGAAGGCAACAAAUAACCUGUUCCUUCUCGAGGCUAGGGAGGCCUAUUGAGGGUGGUCAUUUCAUCCCAAUUUCGCUGAGUCGAGCUCCCUCUUCCCUGAAUAAAGAUCUGUUAAUCCUCACCUCGGCCUCCUUGUACCGAGGUGAGGAUUACACACCUGAGGUUCAACCACCCGUCCCGAUUACUCCGGCUGUCGCGGUCACUACCCUGAAGUUUCACUGUGCCUGAUGGGACGGGCGAAGUUAGGUCACAGACUGACACCUGCAGGGACAGGAUGUCUGAUAAGACCUGUCCCCGACACCGACCUGUCAAGAUAGACUGACAUGCUCAGUCUGUCAGGUCCUAGGAAGUUGAAUCCUACCAUCAUUUUCUCCCAAUUGUCCCCUAUAAAUACAGAGAUCUCACUCAAAAGGGGACCCGAGAAAAAAAUACACUCUGUAAGAACUACUCUCUAAAGAAAACUUCACUACUUUCCAUUCCAAAAAGAAGACUAACUAGAUCAUCGAAGGAAAAUCGGGGGAUUCAACCCCACCUUUGAUAAUUUGAGCAGGUGACUUCCGCAAGGCAGUACCCACUUCAGGAGAUCACUCCCGCACUUUGGUACAGCCUGUCAACUCCGAAAAUCACCUCUUGAUUGCUCAAGUUGGCAAUUCUUUGACUACAUGACUAACGCUUAUGGUAAAUCCAAGUUUUUGUAGCUUCUUGUCAUGCUUCUCUGUCGAGGCUGGAACAGUGGCUUUGUUAUAUUGUAAUCUGUUAAGAAAAAAACAAAAUAAAAUAGCGUGUGUGCUUUUUAUGAGAAGAGGGUGUGGGGCGGGGGAAUCCUCUUCAGUGGCAAAAUUGUUUCAUUGCCAUCUCUAUUUUUGUUUGAGCCCUCACGUCCUUAGAUUAAGAUAUGGUUUUGAAUCUUGGAACUAGUUCAAAUAACUUCUUACAUAAGUUAUUUAAUGACUCGUAGGGCAAAACUUGUAAACCUUUCUUGUCCUUUCUUUCAUCUAAUGUGGGAUUUUUUUUUGUCGGGAUUUAGGUCUCUCAUUUAUCAACAUAAUAAUCAAAUCAAACGCGGGCAAUAUUUUAAACUCAAUGUGGAGUCAAAUCAAAAUUAAAUAAUAUAACGUUCGACUCUUUUGAACUCAUGUACAACUAUAUUUUUCAAAAUUUUGUACUAUUCAGGGUUUGUUUUAGUUUCUUUAGGAAAAUUAGACAUCCAAUAAAUGAGUGCUUGAAAAAUGAAACCAAAGGACAAAGAAAAUUGCUUACUUUGCACUUGCAUUAUCCAAGUUCGUGUCUCAUGAUAGAGACUUAGCUGUCAAUUAUCAUCCACAAUUACAUGGUUGCUUGUAAUGGAGUUAUUUUUGAUUGAUGGAUCGUUGUCAAUCAUGAUACCUCAGCAGGUAUUGGAUGGGUGCUCCAAGAUCCACUUCAUAAUAUAAUCCAUAAACUAAGCAAGAAGGUCUAUUCUCUCUCUCUUUUUUUUUUUUUGGGCCUGACGUAAUAGAUCUACACUACUCUCUACUAAGAGAAGGGGGAUCUGAAGAAUUUUAAGGACAAUUUGGAGAGGACUGAACCAUCACCAGUCCAAACGGGUGCCUACACACCCACUGACAACAUUUCUAGAAAACCUAGAUUUUUAGAAUAUAGGUCAAGGGAUUUAAUCUCUUGAUUUACAUUCAAGUAAAGUUUUAAAACUCUCUUGAUGGCCGAUUAGCAAGAAGGUCUAUUCGUCAUCUCCAAUUUGCAUCGAAGCUCUAGCUUGUUUGGAUGCUUUAAUAUGGGUUAAACAACUAAAUAAUGCCACUAUUCUGGUCAAGACAGAUUCCCUUCUGCCCCUAAAAUACAUUAUGGAUCCAUGAAUUUCGGAAGUGUAUGUUAGGUCCAUUUCCGAGAUAUAAUUUGUAUGUCUCAAUCGUUUGAUAGAAUUAUAUUUAUCAAGGUUUGCAGGUCAUCUGUCAAUUUAGCCCAUAACUUUACUAUUAAAGCUAGACCUCUGUAAUUAUGUGUAAAUAUUAUUAAAUGCUUUCAUUUUCAAGAAAAAAAAAAGAUGCCAAUUACUUCUCUUUAUUGAAUUUGUCCACUUGUUUCCAUUAAUAAAUAUAUGUUUGGAUAGAGUAUUAUUUAAAAUAAUUACUGUAGCACUUUUGUGAUAAAUGUGAGAUAAAAAGAUGGUCGGGAAUAUAAAACAUGAAUUAAAAAAUAUAUUUAUAAUGCAAGCGAAAUAUUAUUUGCAAUAAUAUGGUAUCAAAACAAACUUCUAGUUCGAAAAUCGGUAGCAUGUUGAAUCAAUCAAAGACAUUUGUAUCUUGUUUAUGAAUUGGAUUGGUAUACUUGGUACUCUAAGGUUAUUAAAUAACAAGUGGGCUUGGUAUUAUUAUUCUUUUCACAAGAAGCUAAUUUCAUCGUGAAAGUGUUGUAACUCAGGACUUGGAUAGUAAUUUUAAAACUUUAAUAGUGCACCUAACUUUCAACUUUUCAUGUGCUUUCAGGGUACCAAAUGGAAAAAAAAAAACCCAUGUAACUUCAAGUCUAAGAUGGUAUGCAAUUCAUUAAGUUAAUAAGUAUUCAUAAUUUCAUAUGUAGAUGUUAAUAUACAUUAAUAUAUAAAAAGUGCAUGAUUGAUCACAAACAUAUUUAUCCUAAUAUUAGAGUCUUUUUUUUUUUUUUUGAGAAUUCAACUUUUCGUGCAAACAUGUAAUCAACAUGCAUAAAUGAGAUAACAUUAGAUGAGUUAAACAAGUAGCCUUCAAAUAUAAAAUUUUGAUUUCAUAAAUGUGCAUUGGCAAUUUAGAAGAGAUACUUUUCAAAUGACAAAUCUAGAGAGCAACAACUACUCCUACUUUAUUUUGAUUUCUAAUCUUCUUUUGACGUAUCAAAAAGGUGAAAACAUGAAAUUAAUAAUGGAUCAGAUAGAGAAGAGUACACUGUGAGUAAAAAUAAAAUGAAUAAUUUAUUUUCAAUUUCUUCGUGUAUAAAUUUUUCCUUAACAUUAAUCGUUGACGUAUCAUUUAUUAUAGACUCUUUCAAGGCACCAAUCAAAAGUUCUAAGUGCUCGAAACAAUAUAAAACCUAACACUGAAUAUGAACAAUAGAACAUGUAAUUACCCAAAUGCAAAAUCAUAUUAUACAUGCACUAUUCACCCACGACGUAAAGCACAAUUUUAAAGUUUAUUCAAAUUUCGAGCUUUGUUUGGUUAGGUGUUUUAGAGAUAUUAUAUUAUAGGUUUUUUUCUUUUGUCUUUUCAAAAAAAAAAUAUACUUGUAAGAUAAAAAAAUAGUUGAAAAACUAGUUUAGAGUUUUAUUAGAAAUUUAUCAGGAGAGCAGUAAUCCCUCAUCAGCCAUCCCCUCAUUCUUCCAUGUAUCUUUUUCAUGAAUUGGGUUGAUCUAUUUGGCGUUCAAAGAUCACAUUUAAAAAGUUUUUUUUUUUUUUUUGCGAAAGUAUUAUAAUUCAGAAUAUGGAUGUAAUUUUAAAACUUUAGUAAUGCACCUACCUUCCAUAUUUUCGUAUGACUAUUGAGUGCUCUUAGAGUAUUAAUGGGAAAAAAAAAACCUUGUAAAUUUUACAUUCGAGCAUAUCCACUUUCUGAAGAGCAGGAAAAAAAAACACCACAUAAUUUCAAUUCCAAAAUUUUAUUUUUUUUUUGAACAAACUUCAAGCCCAAAAUUGUUUUCUUUUUUUGCUAAUUAAAAGUUUGAAUAAAUUCGAUUCCAAUCAUCAUUAAAAAUUAAAAAAUACCCUCUAAACCAUAAGUUACUUACAGAGGUUCUUACAUAUUACAUACUAGCACAAAGUUAAACAAAGAGUAUAACGAUCUUUUCCUUGUAGCUCUUUUCUUCUUUUUCUAUUCUUGAUAGGAUAAUAUACGUAGGAGAGUCUAUUUUGUCUUAUUUCUAUGCUCUUUAUAGCCUUCCUUUGGUCGUAUAUUCCCAGUGCCUCGUGGCUGCAUGGUAAUAUAGGGCUCCUGCUCACUAAGUAUACUUCCAAUUCCAGCUUUCAAGGGACGAGGGCCAAAUCUCUAUUUUGUCUCACCACUAAACAUGUCCAUGAAUCGAGUUUUAUCUAGAUUCAACCCAGAUCCAAUGUACUUAAAUUAGAUUUGAAUUUAAUUCUCAAAUUCGGACCUUAUCCAGACCAAAACCCUAUAAAAGAGUUGUGGGUUUAGAGAGGGUUUGAUUUUCUAUAAUCCAUAUUGAAAUCCAAAUUUAUACAAAACCCUACUCAAACCCAUAUAUAUAUAUAUUAGUAAAUUUAUAAAAUAUUCAAAUAUUCUAUGGUCAUUGGAUCGAACAUAGUAAGACUUCGUGAUUGUUUUCUUUUUUCAAUCUAAUCCUAAUUAUCAUUGUAAUUAGUACAAACUUUUUCAGAAAAAAGUAAAGGCAAAUAAAUAAAAGAUUAGACGUAAAUAUAGUUGAAAUUUUAAAAAUAAAUCAAAGUAGUCAAUAAUAGUUUUUUUUGAGUUUAUAAUAUUGCAUUCAACUUCUUGAAUAUUAAUUUUAUUAUUUGAAAAUAAAAAUUGGAUGGUGUUUAUACUUUUUGAAAUUUACAUAUUUUUAAUAGAUUUUUACUUUAGGGUAUUUAGAAAAAUACAGCGGGUACCCAUUGGGUAUCCCAAAUUCGAGAGUGUCUAGGUUUGAACUUAUUUUUUAAAAAUCAUAAAGAUCUGAGUUUGGGUCCAACCGAAUUUAAUGGAUCUAGAUCAAAGGGACAUACCUACAAAGAUAUACUUAUUUGUCUCACUAUUAUAACCUUUUUUUUAAUAUAAUCCAAUAUUUCAUGAAGUACGUAAUCAAUGACAUAACAUUAGACAAAUUUAGUCCUCCCUGACAAAUCUUUUCAAGAAAAAAAAGACAUAUCUUUUUAUGAGUAAUCUUUGACAAACCUUUCCACGAGUCUUCUUUUCAAAACUUCAAUUACGGCAUACACUUUUGACCAGAGGCGGAGCCGACAAUAAUUAUCAGUAGGGACAAAAAUAAUAUUAAAAAUUCUUCAUUGUCUUUCUUAAAAGUAGUACAUAAUAACAACGGCCCACUUGAUAAAUGAGUUUUUCAUGUGUUUGUUCAAAAUUUUACUGUAACUUAUCGUAGAAUUUGUAAAAUUUUUUUUUGAGAUUGUAUCUAUUUAUUGGAGGUUCUUGUAUAUUCACUUCGAACUUUUUCAUUGGUCUUGGAGCAACUACUAAGCUUCUCAAGUAGUUGUUCCAAAACCAAUAUAAAAUUUUCUUUGAAUGAGCGAUAUAACACAAAAUCACAUAAUAACACAAUAAUUUUCUUUGAAAAAAAUAUAAGAAACAUUUUAAAAUAACCAUAGACCUAUAGUUUUGUAAGGCACAAGGACAUAAUAUUUAUUGUUUUAUUAAAAAAAAUGACGUUCACCAUAGUAGAAGAAAAUUAUGUUUAACUAAGCCAACAUAAUUACUCUAUAUUUUUACUUUUGUUGCAAAAAUUCACAAAAUUCAUUUUACUGAUGUAGAAGGCUAUUGUUUUGAAUUUUGUAAAAUUUCAUUUCCAUUAAGUUACAAAACUAAUGAUAUUUACAUUUACUUCUAAACAACAAAAUGGGAGCACAAUCGAAAAUUUCUCAGAAUUGCAGGAGUCACAAUAGGGGCAUAAUUGAAAAAUUCACAAAAUUACUUGAGUAACAACAGAAUUCUGUGCGGGGCAGUAGGGGCCCGUGCCUACAGUUCCCCCAUUGUCGAUCCACUUCUGCUUUUGACAAUAUGCCCCCUUUCUGAUCCCCUUGCGAAGCUAUGGAUCAAUUAUUCCCAUUUGUGAAUGUCAAUAUCAUGAAAUGGAGCUUGGAAGGAUGUAUUUCUGUAUUAAAAAACUUCUUCAAUCUCCUGUUUCUUUCAAGCCAGAACUAUUAAUGAUUUUGAAGCUAUAAUUGCUCUUGCAUGAUGAUGAGGAAGCUAUGAUUGAGAACACUAGCGGAUUUAAGGUGGGGUCACUGGGGGCACGGCCCCACUGCUUCCCUUAAAUUCCUACAAUAUGCAUAGAAUUUUGAUAUUAUUUUAAGUGUGCCUUCAAAGUUUUUUUUAUGAAAUAAGUGAAAUAAUUACGUGAUCUUUUAAAUUGAUCCAUGAACUAAUAUUCUAAAAGGAUAUGUGGGUCACAAAAUUUCAUUUGAAAUAAGUUCAAAAAAUCUUUUUCAUUUUAACUUGUUGGUGAAUAUUUUUUUACUUAAAAAACUAACAAAAUAGUAGGAAAAAAAUUUUAAUGCUGCUUUUGCCCCCACUGAAAAUUUUUUCAAGCUCCGCCACUGAUUGAGAAUAUCUGACUGUCCAUGAUAGAAGCAAAUAUUGUUGAUGUAAAAUACAUUACUAAAUGUGCCAAUAAUGUAGCACAUGAAUUAGGUUUUCAUACUAACACUUCUAACAUUAUGGAAUUCCUAUGAAAUUCUCCACCUAACUUUGUUAAAAAAUUCAUGCUGGACCAAUUCCAACGAUUUAGUUAAUAAUAUUUUCUCUUUUUAUCAAAAAAAAAAAAAAAAAAAGCUCAUAGGCAUCAAUUGCUUUUUCAAUACAGCUUGCUUUUACAGUCCUACGACCACAAUCUUUUGUCAGAGGAAAUAAGGCUGAAAAAAUAUAUAUAUAAUUUUUUGCAUCAUCAUUGUGAUACAAUGAAGUACAGAAACUGCUUAUGAGAAAAUUUAAGAUAUUUUUACACUCAACUUUUUUUUUUUUGUUUCUUUCUCCUUUGUAUACAGGUUAAGUAUAUGGGAUAAAAAAGAUAAGUAUGUACCACAUAAUUACUAGCUGCUCUCAUUGAAACCUGUUGCUGCGUGAAUACUUCACAAGAUUAUGUCAAAUUAUCACUUCAAAAUAAAAAUAAAAGGAAUUCAAAAGAAAAAUUACUAACAAUUAAGAGCUAAUUCCUCAAAAUAUUUCCCCAAAAAAAUCCAGCUAAUGUGGUUCUGAUAGAGUCCAUUUCAAAAACUAUGGUUUUUUUUUUUAUUCUUGGUAGCCGCUUUUAAAGGAAAAAAAAAUUCAAGGGCUGCCAUCUCUUUUUAAAGGCAACAAUGUUUUUUUUUUUUUAAUUCCUGGCGGCCACUUUGAAAUAAAAAAAAAAUUGAAGGGAUGCUGUAUUGAAUCAGCAUGACAGCCCUCUUCUUUUUUUUUUCUUUUGAAAAAGAUGCUGAGCCUGCAUGUUAUCUUACAAAUAGGCAGUUGCUUUAUUUUUUGUGUUUCACGGCAGCCCGGUGACUUCUACAAUUGUUUAUGUUUCACACAAAACAUAUUGAAUACUUGAUGGGGUAUUAUUCAUAGAACCUAAAAAAUCCUGUGAAUGAUACUCCAUCAAAUAUUCAAUGUUUUGUGUGAAAGAUAAACAAAUAUAGAAGUCAAUGGGCUGCCGUGAAACACAAAAAACAAAGCAACUGGCUAUUUGUAAGACAACAUGCAGGCUCAGGCAUCCUUUUUAAAAAAAAACAUGGCAGCCCUUGAAUUUUUAUUUUAAAAAAAAAUUGGCUGCUAGGAUUUUUAAAAAAAGAAAAUUGUUUCCUGCCAUGCUAACACAGCGAAUUUUUAUUUAAAAAAAAAAGUGGCUGCCAGGAAUAUUUUUUUUAAAAAAAAAAAUCUCAUGGCUGGCAUAAUUUUGGAAAUGGACUCUAUCAAAGUCACAUUUGCCAGUUUUUUUUUUUUUUUGGGCAAUAUUCUGAGAAAUUAGCCACAAUUAGCGGUAUAUUCUUUCUCUUUUUUUUGACUACUUUUAUAAGAACAAAAUGUAUAACAGGAAAGUCUCAAUAGACUCCCUUAUUUGACAAGUGACAAAUAGGACUCAAGUACUACGAACACUAAAUUUUAGGGGGUUUAAUAUAAUUACAUUUUAGAAUUGAUUAAACAUGAGAAAAACUGGAAUGUGCUCUUUGUCUGUCACAUUAGUGGCCGUUUUGGAGAUGUAAUGAUUUAUUAAAAAAUAUUUCACCCAUUAGAGCUUUUGAUGAUAACACUUGAAAGUGUGUUAUUUCGACGCAUACAUUGAUGAGUGAUUGUUAUGUAUGGAUUGUUAACCCACGGAUUUUAUCAAAAUUUUAAAGAUUAUUCGAUUUUUAGGCUAUGUUUGGUUAGGUGUUUUCCAAGGUGAUUUAGGGGUAAAUUGACUAUAAAGAUGCGACGAAAAUAUACUUUGAACCUAAAGUUCAAGUUGUGAUUAGUAAGUUAAUUUCCUAUUUUCUAUUCUUUUUAUGAUGCUAUAUUCAGGUUAGAAAAUCUUUGAUUAAAUGACUGAAGCUUGUGGUGAAUCGAGUUUUUGCAACUUCUUGUCAUGCUUCUUUAUCGAGGUUGGAACAUUAGCUUAGUUAUGUUGUAAUGUGUUAAAGAAAAAUAAUUACAGGUGCCCCUGUGGUGGUAGCAUGCAGGGCAGGAAAGUUAUAUGACAACGGCGUUGAGAUUGGAGUUGCUCACUCUAUCUUUGCAUCCUCCCUCGCACUUGUAGAUGGAAGUAAGGAUAUUUAGCCUGAAGUUUUGAGUUUUAGAACUGAUCCAAAUGACUUUUAAGUGAAAUCACAGAUUCAAAUUGAUUUAUUUUUUAUUAUAUAUAUUCCGAGAAUGGAAAAAUUUUACAAGUAUACGAGAAAUGAAAACCAAAAUAAAAAUGGAAAAUGCUUACCUUUGUGCUUUUACCUCAUCCAAGUCAGAGUCGAAUGUUGCAUCCCUCUAUAAGUGGCAAAUAAAUUUAUUUAACUAAAUUUAUCCAUACCCGUCCAUGAAUAGAUGAAUAUAAAUAUCUUAAAUUUUUGCAUAUGGGUAUAAAUGGUUAUCCAAUAAUGCUCAUUUAUUAAAUGAGCAUUAUUGGAUAAUCUAUCAAACUCAAUUAACCCAUUUAAAAUUAUCUUCAUCCAAGCCUCCUCUCUUCCCCCACUCAUUUUUUUUUCAGAUUCUUUAUUUUGUCAUGAUGUUAACUACUUUUGAUUCAUUAUUAUUAUUAUUAUUUGUUGGUUUUAGCUUAUCAUUUUAUUUUCCCUUAAUUUGUUAACUUGUUCAUUUUUCAGCAUUAUUAAUUUAUAACAAGUUUUAGUCUCUUUUCCUACUUUCUCAAAAUGAAAUUUUAAAUUUACAUAUGAAAAAAAUGCUAGGGGUUCAAAAUUUUUGGAUUAAGUUUUUAUGUUAACUUUUAUAGUACUUAAUUCAAAAUUUUAUAUUCUUGUUGUUUAAUUAUUAAAUAAUAUGUAAUUUUGCGACAUAAAGUAUUGAUAGGAAAAAAAUUGGUAAUUAGAUUUAUGAGCAUUAUAAGUAAAUAUUUAAAAUUAAUGAUGGAUGCAAAUUAUGGUAUAAAUUGAUAAUUUAGUUUGUAAAAAUGAAUUUAAAUGAGUUCACAAAAAAUUAAAAUAAAUGGGUUAUAGAUAGGUAAUUAGGUUAUUCAAUUCAUUUUUUAACUUACUCAUUAGAUGAAUAUAAAUGAGUUGACUCACCUAUUCCCAUUAUCCAUUUUAACUGAUUCAAACCCGUCCAAAUCACUGAUUUUGGACACAUCUACAUCCCUCCAAAGUCUACCUCAGACUUUAAGGUUCCCAUUUUGUCCUGCCUUGGGAAGCGGGAUGGAAGAAGGACAUGUGUGAGUGUGAUAGUCAUAGAUGGAUGCAUGGCACACGCUCGUUAAUUCGGAGAGGGAAGGCCGACGCGCAUGUACAUGGAAGCAAAAUGCUACGCGUCGGGUUAGAAGGAAACAUGAAUAAAAAAGAAAAUGUGUUAAGUGAGGGACCAGAGGGGCAAAUACCAACGAAUACCGUAUGUGAUCGGUUAGAUAUAUGUAUAUAAAGGGAUAAUUGCAUAUUCCCACCCUGAGGUAUGUACCAUUAAAAAUAAAGACUAAAGCCAGAGAGCGUCGAUGUAAGUCUCGCAAAUUGUAACAUUAGCAUGAGCGUAUUAGAAUUUAGUAACAUCAGCAACCAUCCAUAAAACUGCAGAAAAUGCAAAAAUCAAUAAAGUGGAGAGAAAAUUUUUUUUAAUUUGGAAUCGAUAUUUACAUGUAAAGUUGUUAUAGUGUUGGUAAUGGAAUUUCAAAAACUUUGAACAGGAAUUGGACAAGAGGUGAAAAAAAACACAUAUACACAAUACAUUCCCAAGGUGAAAAAAAAAAUAAAAUACACUGCAAAAGUUAAUACGUUUGGAAUCGUUUUGUUCACUCAUGGAGUCCAUCCUUUUACAUGAUUAACAAGAGAUGUUCAUCUUUGUAAAGAAAAAGUAACAAUUUUGAGGUGAUGUUGUAAUUAAAUUUUAAAGAAAAAACAAGUAAAGCAAAGUAGAGAAAAUCUUUCUAACCAUCUUGUUCAGAUUACGUAUACAAAAAAAAAAAAAAAAAGAAAAAAAAAACACUAAACAUCAUUGAAAAGAGCGAAAAUAAUAGAUUAUUUGCAAUUACAUUUUAUCUACCUAAUGAAAUCUAACUGUAUUAAGUCCCUCACAAGUACAUUAACUUACUAAGACCAUGUAAAAGAUUUGAUUGUUCUAUAUUAAUAGUAAAACUUAUAUUAAUUUGAUCGUGCUGAGUGUGCAAUAAUAGUUGGACUCACAGAAAAGACCAAAAAUAAAAUACGAAAUUGAAACAUCCGCUCACAUGAAUGAUUUGGUAAAACAUCAUACUUGCAAAUAUAGGUAAACAUAACGCCUUCUUCAGAGGACUAAGAGUGGAGUGACGAAAAAAAGGGUAUGAUACUCCUCUACAUUUUGGUGAUCAAAAUGUAUAAUACCAAAAUGUAUAAUACCAAAAUGUAUAAUGAACAGUAUAAACUAGAAUAGUAACAAAUAAAAAUGGUUGCGAAAGUGUAAAAAAUUAAAUCCUUCUUCAAUAUAUUGCCAUAUUCCCCUCCAUUUAUUUCUUUUCUUAUGCGUCCCACAUUCGCUUUGCCAGGCGCGUUUUGAGUGCUUGCUCGGCCAAUUCAUUUCGGACCACAAACAAGUGGCACUUUGGAUCGCGUAAGACGUGUCCAUUUAUUGCUUCGUUCCUCCCAUAAAGCCAUAAAGGGGUCCCGUCAUUUUUUUUUGUCUACUUUUUUUUUCUUUUUUUUUUUUUACACACGAGAUAUCCGGACCUUCGAUCCAACUAAUCUCAUUUGUCUAUAUGUAUAUAUAUUUUUUGUCUACUUGUUUCUAUUUUUUUUUCUUCCAACUUCUAGGGAAAUCCCAAGAAUUCGCUAACUAAACUGAGCCCAAGAGCAAUCGUAAAAAACCGGCAACUUUUGACGACGCCCCAGGAGCUUAACUACCCAACCCUUAACACCCCCACAGCCGAUGUGGGAUAGAAACCCCAACAGGGGCCAAGCCUGCGCUGGAAACUGCUACCAGGCCUUAACUAAGAACCCAUCCCCAACCGCCGACCCCUUGCUGUUGUUUUUUUUCUUCCAACUUCUAGGGAAAUCCCAAGAAUUCGCUAACUAAACUGAGCCCAAGAGCAAUCGUCAAAAGCCGGCAACUUUUGACGACGCCCCAGGAGCUUAACUACCCAACCCUUAACACCCCCAACCGAUGUGGGAUAGAAACCCCAACAAGGGUCAUCUACUUGUUUCUAUUGAUAACAUCUUUUGACCGAUAUGCAGCACAAAAAGUAACUCGCCCAUGAGUACAAAAUAGGCGUUACAAAAAAAUCGUUCCUACCAAACUCGUGGAGUUAUUUGCCUAAAUAACUCACUUCACAACAAAUAUAUUCCUAAAAUGAUUCAAUUUCAUACUUUAUUCUCGUAAGAGACUUUUCUCUCAUAACAGAGUUUUCUGUUAUCCGUCCGAUCAAAUUAAAACGAAAAUGAAAAAUAUCUUCCCAUUUCUAGCUAUACCUUUGUUUGUUACUUUAUUAUACAAAAAGUCUUGAAUACUUAACAUGAAUUUAACAAUAUUUUUAAAUAUGAGAGCAAAAGUCUCGAAUACUUAACAUAAAUUUGACGAGAUUUCUAAACAUGAGAGCAAAAUCUACAAUUUGACUAUUUAUUUUUGUUUCAGUUACGACAAUUUUCUCUUUAAGAUACUUGUAAUAAAAUUUGAAAUCGAAUCAUUGUAGGAAUAUUUUUUGAAAAAAAAUGUUAUUUUGGUAGAAGACUCUGAGUGUGUUUGACAGUAUUUUAUUUGGAAAAUUUUUUAAAAAAAAUUAUGAAAUUUUUUUAAUAUAAUAAAUAUAAAAAAAUAUAUUAAUGAUACAAAUAAAUUUUGAUAAAUAAUCCACCAUCCAAACACACUCAACAGGCAAUGCCAGAAACAAAGGUUCGCGACUCAAUGUGUUAACCACCCAAAACCUUCUAGGCAGUGCCAUAAAGAAUGGUCAUUGCUCUACGUGUUAACCACCUAGAAGCUUCUAGGCAGUGCCAGAAAGAAAGAUCCACAACUCUACGUGUCAACCGCUUAAAACCCUGGAAGAACGGUAAAGAUGCUUUUAAUAAAAUUAAAGUUUAAAAAUUAAUAUCUGAACUCUGAAUCCGUCAAAUUAUUAAAUCUUAUAUAUCAUACAUUUGAAUGUAUGUCACGUUAUAUUAAGUGACAAGUAAAUAGUUUAUUAUUUAUUUAUUAAAAUAAAUUUUAUUUAAAAAAUUUAAUAUUAUUUAAUUAAUUUAUAUAUUUUAUUUUUUAUUAUCAAACGCGUCUGAAUAUAUUAAAAUAUGAAUCUAUAUAAUUACAAAGUUAAUUGUGAUAUUAGGGACAAAUAUAAAUAAUUAAGGUGUGCUGUGCUGUGCUGUGUGACAAAGUCCCGUGAGUCUGGUCCAUCAAUUAAAUUACUUGAUCCAUCCAAUUGAGAUGAAUUUUUUUUUUUUUUUGUCGGAACAAUAAGUCCAAUCGAGAUCAGCUUGAGUGUGAAUUACUAUUCCUUGUUUUAUUUGUCCACUUGUUUCAAUUGACAACUCUUUAAGAUACCAAAAAAUCAACUGAAAUCAGUGGGAUCUCCGCAAUUAAUUGCGGAAUAUAAUCCUGUUUUUAUAUAUUCUUUGUACGUCUAAUUAGUUUCGUCUCAGGAAAGGAAAAAUAUACGCACAAAACACAAGUCUAGCUCAGAAUUUAGCGGUGACCGAUUCUACCUUCCUUUUUGGUAUCAUACCUUGAUCCUGAAUUCACGGUUGAAUGGUCAAAUAUUACUAUUUUUGACAUUUAGAUGGUUACAGUUUCAAUCGUUUAAAUUAUGGGUUACUAUCAUCGUUGAAAGAUACGCAUUGAGGGAACGGUAUCCUAAGAAGACUAUAGAAUUUUCCUAAUGGAUUAUACAACAUAUUAAUAUUUGGAAAAAAAAAAAUACUUCUCACACAGUUGUGUUUGAUCUCAACGAAUCUUCACUAUUUUAAAUUGGUGUGGAUCACAAUCAAUGUCAUGACUUUACAUGAAUAUCAAAUAAGGGUGCACGAAUAUUAUAAUAUGAAAAGUACAUGAUAUGAAAAAAAAAAUAAUUGUGUUUGGUUAGAAAAUUAUUUGAAAUAAUUAUUGUAACAUUUUUUAUGAUUUGAGAUAUAUAAGAUAAAAAAAAUUUAAAAAUAUAUUUAUGAUGUAAUUAAAUAAAUUUUUUUUGACAAAUAAUGCCCAUCCAACCGCACUUGUAUGUACUCCUUUUCAAUUUCUUUAUGUAGAAUAUUUUUUUUGAUUAAUCGUCAAUUAUAUCUAUAUAAUACUUUAUUCUAAUUUAAUUAAGAGAGGAUCAACUGGACCUACAAAAAGUUGAUGGGAACAGAAUCACCAUCAGAUCGGACAGGUGCAUCAAGCAUCCAUUUGAAUUUUUUUGAAGAAAUAAUUAAUGUGGCAAUUAGUGGAUGGUAAAAUUUGCUACUUUAAUAGAAUAUUUUCUUGAAUAUUGAUUUUUGACAUGUCUUUUGUCAAGGCCAUAAAUCAACCCGGGCCUACUCCACAGUUCACACCGAUUCCCGCCGACGAUGGAUAUCUUAUCCACAAAAGCAUGUUCCUACCGCACUAUUAUAUAUUAUUCCGUCAUCCCCACCUCCUUCCUCCUCACUCCUCCCUCGCAAAACAGUAAACUCUGAUCCAUUCCACUCUUUCCUCUGUGCUUUUUUGUCUGAAAAUGGCAGCACCAGUGACAGUGCCAAGAAUCAAGCUGGGCUCGCAAGGUCUUGAAGUUUCAGCUCAAGGGCUGGGCUGCAUGGGCAUGUCAGCCUUCUACGGGCCACCAAAGCCCGAGCCCGACAUGAUCAAACUUAUUCACCAUGCUAUUAGCAGAGGCAUCACCCUGCUUGAUACCUCUGAUGCUUAUGGACCCCAUACCAACGAAAUCCUCAUCGGCAAGGUGACUUUAAUCAUAUUUAUUUGCAUUUUUCUGCAGUUGUGCGGUAUGCAUGAGCUCUUGUACUUUUAGUUUUGACUUUGUUCUUGGUUGCUUUAGAUUUUGCAAAAUUUGAUUAUGGGAAGUGUUUAUAAAAAAUAAUUAGAAUCAGCAAAAAUUGUGCUUUGGCCAAUUAUGAAUUUCAGAUUUUUUGGUUAUUAAAAAAAUUGUAAUCUGAAGCGUCAUAAAAAUUGAUUAUUCAAAAUUAGAAUAUAUAAUCAAUUAAAAUAACAAACCUGUAGUUAGUGAAUGCGUAGGAACUCUCACUAUCUGGGAAGUCUUUCUGAAAACUACCAGUAUUAGAUAAUUUACUUUCCAAACAGGGCAAUAGGAAAACUGUACUCCUCUAGUCUCCUAUUCUUUCUUUUUCACUUGGAUGUUUUCAUUUGGAUCCUAAUAGGGCACUAUUUACUGCACCUUAAUAAUUUGAUUUGAGUUUCCUUUUUUUUUUUUUCUUUUUUAUUCAGGUUCAUGUGUACGACUCUCUGUCUAUGUUCAUGUUUUGCAUCAAAUCUUAUCAAUGGUAAAGAUAGACUGAAAGAAACAGAAAGAAGAACAGAAAAAAGAAAAGGGAUUGGCUCCUUUAACUGAAUCAAACUUCUAAAGUCCAUGGUUUACAUAAUCUUCAUUCUGCAUGCUACCAUAUUCAAUGGGAAGAAGUAGAAUAGUCUUAAAAAUGAAAAGGAUGGAAAAUCUCUGACAGUUUGUGCCAUGCAUGGAUCACAAAUCAACUUGCUAUAACAUGCAAUAAUAUGUAUGUCCUCGGUGAUUGAUGUUAUGAAAGCAUGGUUGUAGGCCUUGAAGGGAGGAAACAGAGAGAAAGUGGAGCUAGCAACAAAAUUUGCAUUCACUUAUGAGGGUGGGCAGUUUGGUAUACGUGGUGAUCCAGACUAUGUGAGAGCUGCAUGUGAAGGCAGCUUGAAGCGGCUUGGUUUGGAUUGCAUUGAUCUCUAUUAUCAGCAUCGCAUUGAUACAAAUGUGCCCAUUGAAGUCACGGUUUGCUCUAUUUUUCCUUUCUUGUUUUUAAGUUCCACAUUCUUAAUUAAAUAAAAGUUUGAUCAACUUCAAAUAUAGGCAUACAACUGAGUUUCGUGUCCUUUGCAAUUGCUUCAAAAAUACAAAAAUAAAAAAAAAAUUCUUAAAAAAUGCAAUUGGUGUACUAUGCAUGUUAGUCUGCAUUAAUGUAAAGCUCAUUUAGCACCAGCAUCUCAAAAUUAAAAAGAACCAUAGUGUUAGUCUUGUAGGCACAAAAAUUGUAGCUUGACGGCCCUGCUGAGGGAGUUACCAAUGGAUAUGACAUGCUAUAGAUUCUAUGGCUUUCCUUUAGGACGAGAAGGCCUGUGUAUUCUCUUUCAUUUGAAAUAUGUAAUCUGGUUGAGUAUUCAUAUGCUAAUUUAUCCACCUUGUCAGUUCUCAGUUGCCACUUCUUUUAAUUCAGUGCAUAAAGCAGCAGAUUGGUACUCAGUUUUUAUCAAAUUGAAGUUUUUAUGGAACGAUUUAUGUAAGUUCUUUUCCUGGUGUAGCCAGCAAAAUAUAUUUUGCUUUUCCUGAGUAGUAGGAAGAAAUUUUCAUAUCGUACAAUCACUCAAAAUACAGGUAAGUUUGAAUGAGAUCAAGCAAAAUUGAUGACUGACAAUUGAUGUGUGCAGCCAUUAGUCUGUUUAAAAGAAGUCAAGAAAGUUGUAUAAUGUUGUAUAAUGUGGUAUAAUGAUAUCAGAGCUAAGUCAACCUGUGAGUUAACAUCAUCAUCAUCUAGAGAAGUAUAUUGGCUGCUUGUUGCCAUUUUUGUCAAGUAGUGCUUUCAGUUUGAUGUAUACUUUGUCAAAGUUGUGCCACUGCACUGAACUAGUUCUUCUUUUCGUUUAUGCAUGUAUAAUUUCAAUUAUCUACCUUAGUAUGGAAAAAAUCAGCUGGGAAAUUUCUCGUCCAUUACAAAAAUUCUAUUUUGCCCAGGUAGGAGAACUUAAGAAAUUGGUUGAAGAGGGUAAAAUAAAGUAUAUAGGUCUAUCCGAGGCCUCAGCUUCAACAAUUAGAAGAGCACAUGCUGUUCAUCCAAUAACAGCUGUACAGUUGGAGUGGUCAUUGUGGACCAGAGAUAUCGAGGAAGAGAUUAUUCCCACUUGCAGGUAGUGCAUUUAUCCUGCUUCAUUUUCUACAUGGUCUGGAAGAAAUAUGAAGUUCUAAGUUCAUUUUGGUGUAAUCUUGUAGAGAGCUUGGAAUAGGGAUUGUUGCAUACAGUCCACUUGGAAGAGGAUUCUUCUCUUCAGGUCCAAAGCUGGUUGAGAAUUUGACUGAUGAUGACUACCGAAAGGUUUGUGAAUAUCCAAAAAGAUUAGUAGUUUCUAGUGUAGCAUAGUCAGUAGCAAUCUUGCUCAAUAUCCCUUUGAUGUCCAAUAAUUUGGUGGAGCUUUUCUGAAACUAUCUAAUUUAAUUAACUUCUGUCCAACAAAGCGGCACAACAAGCUUUUUUCUAUCCACCAAGUCUUCUAGCGUUGGAUUCCAAUAAAUGCAGUUUUUGGCAUUGUUAGAAACUGAACCUUUUGUACAGACAGGAUUGAAAGUGUGUGCUCUGUAUUUAGUUUGAAUUUGAAGAUAGCAAUAGCAUUGUCAAAUAUCACAAGCAGUGGGAGUGUUCUAUUUUAUGGUGGAAGAACAUCCUAGACAUGAGAAAAGGAAGAAACUAUGGCAUUUUUUAGUAAUAUUCUCUUCACAAUUUUGAGGGGAAAUGGACUUACAUUGCAAUGGCAUCAUCUGGUGUUAGGCACAAAAGUUAUACAUUGUCCUCUGAAAUUGUUUUUUUUCCCUUUUCAUAUACAUCCUCUACAGUUUGGUUGGUCACAAGUUCACUUGAUAAUACUGUCCAGAUGGUAUGAAACUGUAUUGGAUUUCUAUUUCGAGUUUCCUCUCUGAUGGGAUAUGUUUCUCAGGAUCUACCUUCUACAAUUGAUGUUUCUUAGCGUACUCAGUCCACCUUACUGGAUUGUUCUUUCCCCUGAACUUUGUACGCCUCAAGCAAUAGUAUCGAUCAUCUUGAAGUUAUUCGUAAUGUUUUCAUUUGUAGACAACACGUGUUGCUCCCUUUUGAAUUUCUGGCAUUACAGUUGCUUAAAUUUCGAAAUUCGUACAAUGCAGUAUAUGCCAAGGUUUCAAGCAGAGAAUUUGGAGCACAACAAGAACUUGUACGAGCAGGUCAAUGCCAUUGCUUCAAGGAAGGGUUGUACCCCAUCACAGCUAGCUUUGGCCUGGGUCCAUCACCAAGGCAAAGAUGUUUGCCCCAUACCUGGCACUACCAAGAUUGAGAACCUCGAUCAGAAUAUAGGAGCUUUGUCUGUGAAACUGUCGGCAGAGGAAAUGGCGGAACUUGAAUCUAUUGCUUCGGCUAUCAAGGGUGAGAGAUACGAGUCUGACGCUGGCACUUGGAAAACUUCUGAAACUCCACCUUUGUCAACCUGGAAGAGGACAUGAAGGCGUACCUUUGUGAUGGCAAUAAUCCCUUCUAGCUGUGUGCCUGUUGGUGGAUUUCACUAUAUUGGGAGUUGAGUAGCAUGUAUUUGUUCCAAGAAAUUUCGUCAUAUUAUUGUCUCGGGGGUUAAGGCAUGUAAAGUUAUAAUAAGAAGAAUGGAGUUUUAAGAGUGAUUGUAAUGAAUGAAGAUUUGGUCAUGUAAAAGCAUAUAGUAAUUUUCCUUGCAGUAUGCAUUAAAAAUUAUCUAUUGUACUUCUGAAUAUUAUAGUUUGGAAAAAAAAAAGGAAUACUUGUUAUCAUUUGGGGGAAAAAAAAUAGUGUAGCUGUCACGCCUCAUUGCUCUGUUAUAUUUCUCGCACGUGCUAGUAACGAGACAUCUGUUAUAUUUCUCAAGGACAAGACAAUAUUAAACUAGAAAUACUUACUUAAAAAGUAAUAGCAUUAAUGGAACUAAUUAUAGUGCGGUAUAACUUUGUAUUCGAAAUAACCUAUAAAUAUUUGAGGAUUUCAUAUGCUAAACAUCAAGUAGAGAUAACAUGUGCGAGUAUCAACUAUUAUAGUAUAGCGAAGUACAACUAUACUACUAAUUCCUAUCUCCUAAAGAUUUAGUAGAAAUCAUUUUUUGGGUUUUGGACAUAGACUAACUCAUAAUAUCCAAAAUCUACAAAAGUAAUAAAAAUGGGUUGAGCGAUGAUUGCUCGGUAGGUAGCAGCUACUGUGAUGUCUCGCAAAAAUUUAUUAUUUUUAAAAUCCAUUCCGAGCAUAUUUAAAUAUUUAAUUGUCCAUUUACUCUGAUUAUUAUUUUCUAACCUCUUUAAAUCUAAUUACAUGGAUUUAUAGUUUCGUUAUAUUUUUUUUAAAGUGUCUCGUUUCAAAAUUUAAUUUUUGGAAGCUCAUUAAGUGAAUAUGGUGAAUACGCGAUUAGGGAUUUUAGCUGAUUUGGAAAUACCAUAAGUUGGGAAAAUUGGAGACUUGUACAAUGGUCCUAAAAUAAGUAUUUCUAUGUUUAAAUAUUCAAGUGAUAGUUAUUAGUACUAUCGUUAUAAGAAUUUCUUGGAAGUUUCGUUUUAUCGCGCUUAAGUUGGAGAUACGCGUUUUUACACGCGCGAUUUAAUUGGGGGACUUUAGACCCUUAUUCUGGGACAAUUAAGAGUAAAUAAUAUUAAUAUGAUUAUAAGUAUAUUGGAGGUUUAGGGCACUAGUGAAAUGAACGCGAGAGAAAUCGAGCACAAAACGCACGCGUACGCGCACUAUUGAAGAGUUGACUUUUGCACCAAUUCUAGCCACACAAAUAAAGCUUUCUUAGGAAGCUAAAUCAGAUCAAAACACUCUCUCUCUUCCUCACAAAGUGGCCGGCCAUCAGCUGCAAAAAUAACCCAAGGAGUUCAUCAUUUUUCAUCUCAAAAUCUUGCACAAAUCAUCUCCAAUUCCUUCCAAAUUUCACACACACUUAGCUUAAUACUUGGAGAUCAUAUUAAGCUGCAAAAAGGGGGAGCUUUUCACGGUUUUCUUGAGCUAAGAGAGGGCCAAAAUUCUGCCUUGUUUACCAACACAAGUAAGUGACGAUCAAUUCUCAAAUUCUUGGUCUAUGGAAGUUGAUUUACACUUAUGAGCUUAGAUAUUCAUGUGGGUGGCUUGUUAUUGUUGGAAAAUUUUGAAUGUGGGCUCUAUGAACUCCCACUCUUGGGUUGAUGGCUGAUAUGAUGCUUGAUGAUGGAUUUAAUGUUGGUUUAGUGCUCAAAUUGGUAGAUUAAUGGUGCAUAGCUAGUAUAAACUUCAAGGAGUGCAUGGAUGUAAAGCUUCCAAUUCUGCCCCUGUUAUGAUUGUGCCUCUUUUUGCAGAAUUUUGAGGUUUUAAUGGUUUGUAUAUGAUGUUUAUCUGUUGUAUAGAUGUUGUAUAAAGUUUCAUCGAAAAAUAUUGAGGUUUGGUUGGUCAAAUGGAUUAAUCUCGCACAGCUAGCAAACCUGGAAAAAUUUUCCCGUAAUGCUCAGACAGCUUUCUUGUUUCGUCCAUAACUCUGUGCUUCGAUGUCAAAAUCAAGUGCCGUCAGUGGCAUUUGAAACUAGACAUUCCCAGAUUUCCAAUGGUAUAAAAUAUAACUCCUAAUUCCACCCGAGUAUUCCGUACCAACCGUUUAAAGAUGACUGUCAUGUUUCUCUAUUUUCCUGGAACGAAGUUCAGAAGCUACAACUUGAGGCUUGAAUUUGAGCUAGUUGUGUGCUGAAUUUCAGAACGAUUUCUUCUGUGAAAUUAUAGUUUCAUGAAUGCAUUUUCCAACGCCACCACCCAUGCUCAAUUCCGAGUUGAAUUGAGUGAUUUGUGAUCAAAAUACGAAACCUGCCUUGUUCUUGAAAACCCUAAAUUUUGGGCAGAAUUGAUGCUAGACUUGGUGUAGACUUGCCAAUUGAAUUUCUUGGAAUUGAAACACUUACCAAAUGUACCAUGAAUGUUCCUUAGGUUUUUCCCACACAAAUGAACCAUGUUUGAAGGAUUUUCCUUGGUCAAAUGUUUUGGAAUGGAAAACAAAAAAAAAAGCUCAAGGCAGUUUUGCCUUAGGAUUUUUCGAAACUUUGGAUGUUUGGUUGACUACUUUCCCGAAGGUAUUUUUCCAUGAAAUUUGAUAGAGGGAUACCCUUUAUAUAGGAGUAUUAUAUUGCCAAACUUGGUGUUAAUCCGAGUCCAUUUCACUGCUCGACUAAAUUACCAAGAUUCAUGACUCGAGUUUGGAAAACCCUUGUUUCACAAGGGAAUUUUGGUAACUUUGAAUUGCCAUAUCUUAGUGCUCAAAACUCCGUUUCUCGUUCCGCUUAUUUUGUUGUAAACUUAGAUUGCGACUCUAAUAGAGUUCCUAAUUUCAAAGGCUAGUUCCAAUUAAGUGAAUUUUGCCGAAUUUUCAAAGUUGGCCAAAAACCAACUUAAAUCUGCCUUAUGAAACAAAACAGCGACUUUGAGCUUAUUUUUGAAUAUUUUUCAUUUGGAAUCUUAGAAAAAUGUAUUUUAGGAACUUUUAGUACCUUGGAAGAGGUUUCCAACGGUACCAAGUUUUCCAAUUUUUGACUUGUAAAGCGUGAGAUACGAUUUUUCUAAUGUAUCGUAUCAAAACUGAAAUUUUCCGAAUUCCAAGGAAAUGGAGUUUUUUCAAGUACUCCUUAUUCCUUCGAUAUUACUUGAACAUUUUAUACUUGAUUUCCAAGAUGAAAACUAAAUUUCUCCUGUACUUUGAAACCCCACUUGAGAGCCUUGAUUUAGAAUAAUUUGGGCUCGUUUCACGAGACUUUCUAAGAUUGUACUGUGGUAUGAUCUUCUUUAAUAGUAGGGGGUUUGUGAAUGAUAGUCUAUUAUUAUUUGCUCAGGCGCACACGAGAACCUUCAAGAGGAUCCCACAGUGAACGCCUAAAGCUCUGAGGGACAUUUCUUCCUCAUUACUUAUAUUGAUGAGUGUCAAGUGUAUGAAUACUUGAUACAUGCUUAAUUGUUAUGAUUGUUUGGAGAUUUUGAAAAUAGAGGCGAGUGUGUAUUUUACCGCACUCAUUCUUAUUUGAAAUAAAUGACUCAUGAUUCAAAUGUACUAAAUGAAUUAUGAAUGGCUUAAUUGAAUGAAAUGAGAUGAUUGAAUGAUUGAAUGAAAUGAAAUGGUAUGCUAUGGCUGCAUACGUCGUUGGAGUGAAUCUCCUUGACUCUCAAAUAAAAAUGGGGGACGCCCAAACUCAUAGGCCGAACUUGGACUCGAGCCGGCAUGGGAUUGGUCGGGAACCUUGGCAAGCCAUGAGAUAAAUAAGCUCGACCUAAUGAGAGGUCUUGCUUGGCAUACUCGUGGAGUAUCGCCUUAUAAAUGUCUUGCGGGCCCGGGAGGUGCACGGUGGACGGAGGGAAGUAAGUGGUGAUCUACGGAAUGGAAAUACCGACCCGGUUGACGGAGUGUCAUCGCGGGAAGGUAUACGAAUGAUAUUGGCAAAGUAAGUGGAAAUUAGCUUCUGAGAGCUCCGAUAUCCUUGAAUUGUUUCUGUUUACUUUUCCACUCGAAUUGUUAUUUAUUGCAAUAUUGUCGCUUUACUUGUUAAAUUGGGGUUGUUACUUGAACAAUGUGCUUACAUGUGUGUUCUUGGCCUCACGAGCGUUUUGCUCACCCUGUAGAUUUGUUUUCCUUAACAGGAUUUGGGCUUGGAGUGAGAUUCGGAGGAAUUUCUCUUUUGUGUACUCUUGUAAUAGGGUUCCAACUCUUUUGUCUAGACUUUUGGGAUAUUAUAUAUUUUGGGUUGUAUUAUGGAAACCCGCUAUAAGAAUUUGAUGAUUGUUAUAUCUCAUUAAGCUUGAACGCUUCCGCGUUAAUUGUAUUUAUCUUUUCUGGUUGUUGAUUUCUAGCACCGCUAUAAGCUUGAAUGGUGAUUGCUUGAGUCCUGACGAGAGUUGGGCAGGCGUUCCGCGGAUACCCUUUGGUUCGCCUUAGGGAGAAGUGGGGGCGUCACAGCUACUCUACUGUUGUACCAUGUAAUUGUAGUAUUACAUAUAUCAAAGCAUUUUCACACACUUUACAUGCACUAGGAGGAUUCGCACGGUGUAAUUUUCAACCUUGCCCAAAAAUGACCAAUUAUUCAAAUUUAGAUAUUAAGUAUGAAAAAUUAUAUAAAAAUGAACUUAAAUCUUUGUGGUUAUAUUUUUGUAGUUUUAUUAAACAAUGAAAAUAAGUAAUUUGUUAAGGUAAUGCAUGAUAAUAUAAUCAAUAGAUUACUGAGAUUAUUAAGAUGUCCCUUGUUUUGGAUACAAUGAAAAGAAAAUAAAAAAAAGAAAGAUAUAUUUGAGGAGAAACUGAUAGUUUUGUUCGUAAACUUUUGCAUGAUUGAGUUGGAUAAUCAUUUACUUGUCCUAGAAAUAAAAGAAAUUAGAGGAGAAAAAAUGAAGAUAGAUGAUCAUGCACUUUAGCUUGACAAAGUCCUCAUAUUGGCUCCUAUAACAUGGAAUAGCAAAUUUAUAACAUAAUUGAAGGGAAAAAAAAAAAAGAAAAGAAAAGUCGAGAAAUUUUCAUUGUUUGCUCCGACCUCAACAAAAAGCAACCAGUACUCAAGUUUCGCUUAAUCUGCAAAACAAAUAAGAUGGAACAUGUAAACUUAAACAUUUAUUUAAUUUUAAUUUUAUUUUAUUGUGUAAGGUAAGCUAAAUUUAUAAUAAAAAGGAAACAAAAAUUACAUUUCUUUGUACAUGCGGAAAGAAAUAGGAUAAGUGUAAGGAAGAAUCAUUCUCAAUCUAGAAAAAUUGGUGACUUUUGAGCAAAUAAAAAAAAUCAUGGCCAAAGUUUCUUACCAAUAUGAGAGUAACUAUCACAAAUUCGGUGAGUUCAAAGCAAAAGCCCAAAUAAGAAAAUGAAAAGAAAAGAAAGUCAAUGUCAAAAACCAGAAUUUGAGGGGAGAUCUCUUCGUGAUGGCAAUAGUUUCUUUUGUUCCUUUUUAAUAAGAGGAAAAGAGCAAAUUAGCAAUGCAAACAAAGCAAAUAUUAAAAUAACUAAUCUCUAAAGCAGAAAAUGGAGAGAAAAACGUCAAAAUUAUGGAAACUUAGUAAAUACUAAAACUUCUGGGCACUUAAGCGCUAUGGAGAUAAACAAACAUUUAGAUUUUUUAGAUUCCUAAAUUUCUAUCACAUAAAACAUUAGACAUCAAAGAAGUAAACAAAAUUUAGCCCAGGCAAUCAUCAACAAACAAAAACCUCUACAUUAUAUCUGUAAAUCAGAAUUCGACCAUAUUAAACUGUAUCAAAAAAAAAAAGAGAAAUUCCACCCGGCAUGAUAUGAAAACAACAUAUUUAAAAAACUCUUAUUAUUGCACAUUAAAUUUUUUCCCAAAAAUAAUUUAAAAAAUGCCUACAAAUGUCCUACAUCAUGCAACAAAGCACAAACCACAUAUAUAUGUAUGUGUGUAUGGAAAAAGCUAAAAAAUUAAAGGUCAGUAAUAUAAAAAAGAAUAGUCGAAGCAACUCAUGACAGGAUCCAAACAGAACAAACAGCUACGAACAAAUACAAAAAAGGUAUAGUGAUGCAAAUUUGGUAUAAAUUUAUCUUUAAUAUCUGCAUUAUCCCUUUAAUCAAUUCAAAUGUCCAUUUGUAUUGUAAGUAAGAAAAUCACAUAAAAGCAAGAUACCAAGUGUCGGACAAAAUCUAUGUUAAGGCUAGAAGAACCACCUAUUGAUAACACCUUCGAGGGCUGCUGGAAUAAGAAUAUCACAGUCUUCAAGCAAAAUAGAAUUGGGAUCAACACUGUCAGCACCCCUCCAUGGUUUUCCCUGACAUGCUUCCAUAGGUUUGGUACGUCAAUUCCCUUACCGUGCUGCUUUAUGGCUCCUGUUAUAUCACUUGCGCGAAUUACCUUUUCCCCUUGUUCACUGAUAAGUUGAGCAGCCCAGGAUCCGACAUUACCAAAUCCCUGAAAUCAAGAAGAAAAUUCUAUGAUCAUAUGACAUUCGAUAAUUUUUGACUUUUUAACUCGCUCUCUCUUCUCACGAGUCAUGAGACAUUUUGUGAUGUAACUUCUAAGUCCUCAAGGAAGGCUCUUUGAAUGAGCUUGUAGUUUCAACAAAAUGCAUCCCACAGUAUUUGAGCAUAUCAGAAACUAAAGGUACACUUGAAACUACAAAUGCAUCCCACAGUAUUCGAACAUAUUAUAAACUGAAGGUACACUUCCCAGUGGUGCUACUUGUACAACAAAUCAUUGCCUAGCGAUACUCUUUCCAUAUUCAUUAAGCAGCGCUUUAGUUGCAAAGAGUACUCCCCUCCCUGUUGGUGCAUCUCUGCCGAGGGAUCCACCAAGAUCAUGUCACCCAAGAAUUUGAAUAUCUUGCGAUAAAUAAAAGUUGAAAUUUUUUGAGGUUCAAAAUCUUAGAAAUCAAAGAAGCACAUUGAUCCUUAUACAUUUGGAAUUGGAUAAUUUACUACAGGUUUUCCAGUUACUAUUGCAGGUGAAUAGCCAUGAAAUUUAUAGUACUCAUCCAAGCCAUUGUCCGCUCAAAUGCGAGACAUUUCCAAUCCAGUUAAUUGGAUGAGCUUCAUAGACAAUGUUGUGUUUAUCACUAUAUUUUUCUCCAAAAACAAAAAUGUCACCUAGAUAUGUACUCCAAUCAUAUCAUACUGUUGAAAACCAGUUUUGCACUGACCUGUGCAUUUGUUCCCAUAUCAGGCGCAGGAACAUCAGUGUGAACUCUAAUCAAAUUAUUCUUAGUGCUGCUAGUGUAACUCAAAAUUUUGGUCAAUGACUAACUUGGCAUGGAAGUUCUAGAUUCCCAGAGGAGAAAUGUAUUAAUUCAUCAAGUGCUGAAAACCAAUGAAGAAAAGGGAACUGGAAGAACUAAAGCAAAUAGAAAGACAUUUUAAAGAUGAAAAAAUCUAUUUUAAACAACUGAUCUUUUUAGUUAGCAUAUGGAUUGCUUUUUCUGAGCAGGAGAUCAACAAAACACCUGCAUGAAAGACACCAAAAAAAUGACUAAAACGAAAACUCGAAAAGAGAAAAUGCCAAAGAAAAUGGCUAAAAAGAAAAGCAUAACAUAAUAAAGAUAACAUAAUAAUAAUUAAUACAGCUAGAGCAUAGCAUAAGCAAUUAUUACAAUAAAUAAAAAAUAAUAAUUAAUAAUUGUGAUUUAUUUGGCAACCAAAAAAAGCAUUGAUAAUUGUGAAUAAUUGGGAUACCAAUUUUUUGUUAACACAAUUUAUUGUUGGGAAAGGGAAAAAAAAGGCUAAAUUUUAGCACAAUCCUACAUGCAAUUAGAAAACUACCACCUCCCAUCCAAUCAAAACUCGCCACAUCACCAUCUUCAUAAACAAUUGGGAGGACUACCACCAAUGAACGAAUCAGAGGGCAACAACUCAUCAAAUUAGAAUCAAUUGGAGGACUACCACCAAUCAGCCAAUGAGAGAAUGCCAAGUCAGCAAUUGAGUUCAAUUAGAGACAAUUGCAUUCACACAUAGACUAUGUAUGUUAAUAACUAUUCAAUAUAACAUUUAACCGGUAACAUAUAAUAUUAAUGUGUGGCAAUGGCAACUUGUAGUUCAUGACAUUUAUUAUCAUACAUAAGGAGUUGCAAGAAUAUAAAUCAUUUCAUAGAUAUUCAUAAUUCAUAAUUUCAUAUACAAUCACAAUCCAAUUAUAUUGAUCUGUUCAAACCCGUUUACUAAUAACCCGUUCAAAUUCACCCAUUAAAAUUUAAACGGGUCUAAGUGAGUACGUAAUUAAAUUCAUUUGAUUGGUGGAUAGUUGAUUGAUUGGACUGACCCAUUUAUACUCAUUUAAAAAUAAAUAUACAUUUAAACUCCAUUUUUACUAAAUGUUAAAAAGAUAAAUUUGAAUUUUCUAUUAAUCUAAUAAUAAUAAUAAAAUAUUAUUUUUUUCUUGUUAAACGACAUGCGAAAAAUUAAAAAAAUAAGUAGAAUUUCAAAUCAAUGAUAAAUGGGAAUAUUAACUAUUCCCGAAAUCAUUUCCUCCCUACGCUUAAUUCAUGCGCGUGUGGCCUCCAGUGUCCAUUUUCCCUUACGGUUCACUACAUUAAUCAUCAGUGUACGUGCACGUGCCUAUUUCUGAGCACGUUCCUAUGGUAGGCACGGUCAAACCGUGCCUGCCAUAGAAUGAUCCCCACACGCAUCCCUCAUCAGUCCCGUCCAUACUUCUUCUUCAGGUCUCAGCUACUAAACAAUAAACUCUGCUCCACUCAACUCUUUCCUCUGUCUUGUGUUUUUGUCGGAAAAUGGCGGCGUCAGAUGAAGUGAAAGUGCCAAGAAUCAAGCUGGGCUCGCAAGGUCUUGAAGUUUCAGCUCAAGGGCUGGGCUGCAUGGGCAUGUCAGGCUCCUACGGGCCGUCAAAGCCCGAGCCUGAUAUGAUCAAACUCAUCCACCAUGCUAUUAGCAGAGGUAUCACCCAUCUUGACACCUCCGAUAUCUAUGGACCUCACACCAACGAAAUACUCAUUGGCAAGGUACCAUAUUUGCAAAUUUUCUGCUGUUGUGCGCUAUGCAUAAACUCUUGUACUUUUAAUUUCUUAAAGAGCAUAUUUGUAAAUAUUUUAUUUAUACUUAACCCCCUGCACUUCAAAACUUGUCUCCCUUUGUGCCCCCUUAAUUUUGCUUGUCAGCACUUAAACUCCAUUUGUUUAAAUUGUAAGUAUUAUUAGUCAAAUAGGACAUUGUUCUUCUUUUCUGCUUCUUCAUUUUUUCAUGUUACUGCUUUUUCAGUUUGUCCUCCUUUAUAAACAUGGAAUGAAUUACUUUGACUUUGAUUUUGGUGCAAUUUUGUAUCAAAUGAUUUUUGCUAUGAAGUUAUUGAUUUAUUAUGAACUAUGCGUUGUAUAUUUACACAAAUUCUGCUAGUUAAACAUUCAUUUGAGCAGGCAACAUGAGUAAUAUAAUUCUCUAUGGGUGCAUUUGGUAAAUUUGAAGUUUGAAAACUGAAAUUUAAUCUAAAGUUUGAAUCCAUAAAGUUAUUAAAUUGUUAAAUACUAAAUCUGAUACGUUUGAGUGCAUGUCACACUAAAUGAUAAGUGAACAACUCUAUCACUUAUUUUUGGAGUAAGUGUUGCUUAAGAAAUUCAGUGUCAUUUAAUUAAUUCAAAUAUUCAAAUUUGAUUUUAAAUGCUUCUGAACAUAUUAAGAUCUGAAUUCAUUAACUUUAAGUGCUAAAUUAGUUGUCAAGCAGGGCCUAUAAUUAUUAGGUAACCAAGCAAACGUGUUUAGGGUAUAAUAGUAAUUAACUUUCAAUUCGUCUCGUUGUUCUUUGGUAAGGAAUUCUUUGAUUCAUUUAAUAAUAUUUUUCUCGUACACAGGAAUCAAAAUAAUUGAAGUUUUAUCUCUACCAUUGAGAUAUGUUACCUUCUAAAAGAAAGGAAAGGGAAGCAAACAAGGGCGGAAAAUAGGAAAGGGCAAAGUGAUGAUAAAUAAAAUUGGAAGUAGCAAAAUGAGACAAGUGAAUUAUUACAAGGGGUUAAGUGUAAAUUAUAUUUAUUUUAUUAGACUAUUUAACCAAAAAGACUAGACUCUUUUAAGGCACCAAUCAAAAGUCCCAACUGCUGGAAAUAACAUAAAAACGACUUUGUUUGGUUUGGCGUUUUUGGAGGUGGUUCAUGAAAAUUUUAUUGUAGUUUUUUUUUCUUUCUUGAAAAAAUAUACUUGUAAGAGAAAAAAAAAGUGGUUGAAAAAUAUUGAGAGUUUUUUUUUAUAAAUAGUUUUCUAUAUAGCUCAGUCACCCAAAUUUUUCAAUAUUCCGACAAUGGCAUCCAUGUGGUGUCAAUUGUCAAACGUGCAACAAAGUUGAGAAGAGAAGGAUUUCAAAAUCUUGUAGCUACACGCGUAUAUGUUGAAUAGCUCUAUCCCAUUAGAAGUAGCCACGUGACAUGAAGGAUUUAGAACUUUUCUACCAUCUCUUUAUUUUCUCUUUUUUUUCCCUUCAAAAUUCGACGUCAUAAUGAAAUUGGUAUUUUUGUCCUUGAAGUUAAAACUUUCAUCAAUUAAUGGAAAGUUUACUAUUUCUCUGAUAAGAGAGAGUAAGUUUUAAAGAUUAUGAAAAGAGAAUUGUAUGAAGGAAUAGAAGGGAAAAGAAAGGUAAGAAAAUGGACGGAUUGUGUUUGGAUUGAUUUUGAGAGGGGAAAGGAGAUGAAACGGAAAGAAAAGGAAAUGGAUGGAUUUUGUUUUGCUCAGACAUCAUUUCCAUACAAAAGUAGACGGAAACAGAGGGAAAGAAAAUCUAUUGACAGGUGCCGAACCUGUACAAUAAUAAAUACCUACUCGAGAAAAAUACAGAUUUUGUAUAUAGCGGUGAGUAGGGUCGAAUCCACGGGGACUGGGGAUAAUUCGUUUCUUCUAGAGUCCAAAGUAUGGGGGGUUUUGGAUUGAAUGCUAACUAAAUAAAUUAACUGCAGAAAAUAAUUGAUUAAGAGAAAUAAUUAAGGGAAAACUCUAGCCAAGGGUACACUUCAGACAUGGUUCAGACACUGAUCAUUGAUUCACACAUAAUUCCACAUUUAUUAAUAGACCAGUUAUAGUUGUCAUGCACGCGAUAAACAACCAACCUUUCCUUAAUUUCUCGAUAGUUAAGGUACGACCGUUAACUAUUUCUCUAACCCAAAAACAACCCUAGGUACGACCGUAGGAUUUAAUUUCUAGAUUGCAUUAAUAAUUAGAAAGGCCCAAUCCUAACUAACAAACACGCUACGGGGGUUUGUUUAAGUUAGAUCGUAUGCUCCCCUGACAUAAACCCAAUUACGCCAGUUGCUACUGAGAUAAAGAUAACGAACAAUUACGGAUUCAAUUAUCCCUAUUUAGCAAAAUAGCCUAUGUGAAUAAUUAAAUAUUGCGCAUCUAUUCAAUCACUCACACGAGCUAUAGCAAUUAAAAGCAGGAAACAUAUAAAUAUAAAUAAAUUAAGGAAGCAAUUAAAAUAAAUUAGAUCUCACAGUAAUUGUUGAACCAAAUCUUCAGUUGUCCCCUUGACUUGAAUUAAGAGGUUAGUUCUCCAUUAAUGGAGAACAACCAUGCGAAAGAGCUAAGAAAAGAAAACUCAAAACUCAACUAAAAACCUCAAACUAGUGAUUCAUUCCUCCCCGUUCUCUUGUACGUUUCUCCCUUUUUAAAGCCAAAAGGAAGUCUAAUGCUAUCUCUAGUGGUCCCCACACCAAAUUCAAAGUCUUGUACGUUUCUUUUCCUAGAGUCCAAAUGAUUCAUGCUUCUUAUCCGUGGUCCCCGCACAUGUGGACAAAGCCUUCCAAGUACUUCUUGUUCCAAGUCUCUUUCCGUAGCUUUCUUUGAAGAGCCCAAAUGACUUAUUAGCUUUUCACUAGCUUGUGGUCCCCACCACUCCAAGGGCCCAAGAAUUGAAGUCCUUAGAAGUCUCCCUAUUUUCCAUAAAGUCCUUCCUUUUUGGUAGUUUCCUGCAUCAUUCCUGAAAUUAAGUCCAGAUACCAAAUAUGAGUAAAUAUUAGCAAUUAACACAAUAUUUAUCAGGGAUGAAAGGGGAAAUUAAUAAUAAAAUUACUAACAAAUUAUACCCUAUCAAUUCCCCCCACACCUGAAUCAUGCUUGCCCUCAAGCAUGGGAAAAAUUCAACUCAACAAUGGCUAGCUUUCACAUUAUCAUAGCCAGCUGUGCUUAUACCCAAAAUCAAGAUCUAGUAACAAAGUGUCAAGACAUGUCUCUCCCGGUUAGCUCCUAAGUUCAUAGACUUGUCCAAUUCAUGGCUAAUUCGCUUAGGAAAUCCAAAUACUAACUAGCAACAGUCAAUAACUAAGUCAACUGGCAACCAAAAUCUCAACAAUACGAACCAAGGAUCGGCAGGCUAACAUGAUCAUAAACUCACAUAUUCUCCACAUCUGAUUUUCUCUUCUUUUUUUUUUCUUCUUUUUUGUUUGAUUUCCCUUUUUUUUCUUUUCUUUUUUUUUUUUCCUUUUUCUUCCCUUUUUUUUUUUUGGAUUGCUUAGUCCCGAGCUGUUUAAAUCUUUUGACGUGAACUCUAACAUUUUUAGAUGAAAGAGCCCAGUUACUUAACUUUUCACUGCUCCAGGACCACUUACUCAUAGAUAUCGCCACUUUUUGACGCGAGAGCCGACACUUGUGGUGAAGACUCCCGGUUACUGGGUGGCGACACUAGCGGAGUAUAGCCAUACGUUAUUCACCAAUAAACACCAAAAUAUCAAGUAAUUAAAGAUCAUAGCCUGCGUCAUGUCCUAAAUAUGGAGAACUAAGGUAGACAGGAGACCAAUCCACACAACAAUGCCAGCCAAAUAUUUACAUUGCCUAAACAAGUUAGCCAUAAAUUGCACCAAGUCGUUAAACUCAAAAAAAAAUUCACCAAGACAGCAUGCUCUUACUUGCCAUCGAAACUCAAUUCAUAGUGUAAACUACAACUAGCAAUAAAUAAAUGAGCUGCCAAAAUAUUCACCAAGAUAACAGCAAGGGAAAAAUACCCAAAAGGGAUAAAGGAACAACACCUAAACAGAAAACAAGAGGAAAACAAUAAUAAAAAAAUGAAAAACUGAAAAUAUCCAGCACCCAAACUGACCCCCCCACACCUAAAAUGACGCAUUGACCUCAAUGCGAAAAGAUAAUAGCAGAAAAAGGGAAGGGGCAACGGUACUUCCCUGAAGUCGUCCAGACAAGGGAGGGUUAGGCGGAAACGGCGGAGGGAAACCGGCUUGCUGCAUAAAUGCCGCUAUACUCUGUGCCAUGCCGGCGACAUUAGUGUCAACAGUGACCAUCCGAGCCUUCAAAGCCUACGUUUCUGAAGCCUUUAUUGGGCCACAUAAAACGCGAUUGAAAACGCGCCUUCAACUCGCGUUUUCUAAGUCGCGUUUCCUUCACAAAACUUGCAGGACUUAAAACGCGAUUGAAAACGCGCCUCUAACUCGCGUUUUCUGAGUCGCGUUUCCUGCACAAAACUUGCAGAAAUGAAAACGUGACUGCAAAAAGCGCCUCCCACUCGCGUUUUCUGAGUCGCGUUUCCUGCACAAAACUUGCAGAAAUGGAAACGCGACUGUGCAGGUAAACGCGACUUCAAGUCGCGUUUUUGAAUCUUGACCCCUUCCUGCACUUUAUCACGCGGGCGCGUCAAGAGGAAAUGCCACCUACAUAUUAGCAACAACGAAAACUGAAACCCAAAAUCAGUCGAAUUCAAGGGAAAUAUAUUUAAACUAUCACACGAAAUCAAACAAACAAUUAAAAGAAACAAUUGGGUUGCCUCCCAAGUAGCGCCUUUCUUUAAUGUUUUUGGCUAGACAUGCUAUGCUUGUUCACGGGGGAUAAAAUCUUGUGGCUCGUUUCAAUGCUUCAUCUUCAAUAUGAUCCUGGUAACCCUCAUAGAUGGAGUAAUCUUUGAGCACACGAGUUACGGGCUUCCAUGGACUAGUAAAUGGCGUUAAACAAGUCAACAAUGAUCUGCAUUCUCCACUCACUCCUCCACCACACGCAUUCAUCGGUUCAAGAUAUUUUUUCAUUGCCACUCUUAACUUAUUCCUGUCAUGAAAUUUCAGAUUUUCUGGUAUAAUAAAAUCAAUUUCAGUAACAGGAAUUGAAGAGGAGGAAUUAGGAAAAUAUUGAUUAAGGAGUGGAGAAGAUGUCACCGCAUUUGGAAAUUGUUCACUGGAUUCAUUCACUUGAAUAAUUUGAUGUUGGAGUCUCAUGUCUUCCGCUUCAACUUCCUUUUCAACUGUAUCUUUGGAUCCUCCUUCUUGAGACUCUUGCAGUUCCAUAUCACUUGUCAGGAUAAUUGCACUCUCACCUUUCUUAGAGUCAUUGAUGGUCUGUGAGGGCAAGUCUGACAUGAAUGACGAUUGUUGAGACUCUUGCAGCUGAAAACUCAUUGGCCCCUCUUCAUAAUUAACGUUGGAGUUAUCCCACCAUCCUUGAUCAUACCGGUUUGAAUAAGGGUCAUACCACGUUUGAGAUCGAGGUGAAGAAUCUCCAAAUUUUUUUUUGAGAUAGUCACUCAGGUAGUCUUGAUAUUCGGGGCACAUACCGGUUGAAUGAUCCCUGGCAUAACAAAUUUCACAGGUUGCAGCAGCCAUUCUUUCUCUAACAGAGUUUAGUGCCUCUGCAUAUGCAGACCUCACAAAAAAACUAGCCUCAUUACCUUCCCCGGAAAUAAAAUCCAGUAUAUCACCAAAAUACGGAGUGUAAGAAACCAUAAACUAAAUAAAAAAAAAGAAUGUAAACAAGAUGAAUUGAAAAAGAAACAAAUAACUAGCGCCAGUCCCCGGCAACGGCGCCAAAAAUUGACAGGUGCCGAACCUGUACAAUAAUAAAUACCUACUCGAGAAAAAUACAGAUUUUGUAUAUAGCGGUGAAUAGGGUCGAAUCCACAGGGACUGGGGAUAAUUCGUUUCUUCUAGAGUCCAAAGUAUGGGGGGUUUUGGAUUGAAUGCUAACUAAAUAAAUUAACUGCAGAAAAUAAUUGAUUAAGAGAAAUAAUUAAGGGAAAACUCUAGCCAAGGGUACACUUCAGACAUGGUUCAGGCACUGAUCAUUGAUUCACACAUAAUUCCACAUUUAUUAAUAGACCAGUUAUAGUUGUCAUGCACGCGAUAAACAACCAACCUUUCCUUAAUUUCUCGAUAGUUAAGGUACGACCGUUAACUAUUUCUCUAACCCAAAAACAACCCUAAGUACGACCGUAGGAUUUAAUUUCUAGAUUGCAUUAAUAAUUAGAAAGGCCUAAUCCUAACUAACAAACACGCUACGAGGGUUUGUUUAAGUUAGAUCGUAUGCUCCCCUGACAUAAACUCAAUUACGCCAGUUGCUACUGAGAUAAAGAUAACGAACAAUUACGGAUUCAAUUAUCCCUAUUUAGCAAAAUAGCCUAUGUGAAUAAUUAAAUAUUGCGCAUCUAUUCAAUCACUCACACGAGCUAUAGCAAUUAAAAGCAGGAAACAUAUAAAUAUAAAUAAAUUAAGGAAGCAAUUAAAAUAAAUUAGAUCUCACAGUAAUUGUUGAACCAAAUCUUCAGUUGUCCCCUUGACUUGAAUUAAGAGGUUAGUUCUCCAUUAAUGGAGAACAACCAUGCGAAAGAGCUAAGAAAAGAAAACUCAAAACUCAACUAAAAACCUCAAACUAGUGAUUCAUUCCUCCCCGUUCUCUUGUACGUUUCUCCCUUUUUAAAGCCAAAAGGAAGUCUAAUGCUAUCUCUAGUGGUCCCCACACCAAAUUCAAAGUCUUGUACGUUUCUUUUCCUAGAGUCCAAAUGAUUCAUGCUUCUUAUCCGUGGUCCCCGCACAUGUGGACAAAGCCUUCCAAGUACUUCUUGUUCCAAGUCUCUUUCCGUAGCUUUCUUUGAAGAGCCCAAAUGACUUAUUAGCUUUUCACUAGCUUGUGGUCCCCACCACUCCAAGGGCCCAAGAAUUGAAGUCCUUAGAAGUCUCCCUAUUUUCCAUAAAGUCCUUCCUUUUUGGUAGUUUCCUGCUUCAUUCCUGAAAUUAAGUCCAGAUACCAAAUAUGAGUAAAUAUUAGCAAUUAACACAAUAUUUAUCAGGGAUGAAAGGGGAAAUUAAUAAUAAAAUUACUAACAAAUUAUACCCUAUCAAUCUAGUUCAUGAUUUUCUAGUAAAAUGCCUCAAGCACCCAAAAUUUUACGUAAACUUGAGUAAGCAUGUAUUUCAUAUCUGUAGAACUUGCCAUUUGUGAAACCUGCUUUAGAUAUGAAUUGUGGUAUGCAACAGCACGCUAGGAAUGUUUGGCUAAGCAACUUAUGUAAAUAUUUUAUCGUUAAGCAAAGUUCCUCCUUUCAUGUCUGUCAUUCUAUGCAAACCUCCUUUUAUCGUUAAGCAACUUAUGUAAAUAUUUUAUGUAAAUAUUUUGGUUUUCUUACUUUCCCAUCCAUAUCUAAUCCAAAUAUGACAAAUGAGAACUAUUUUCCUCUACUCUCCUUUCCUUUCUUUUUUACUAGGAUGUUUUAUUUAUUUAUUUAUCCUUUCCUUUGAUCCAAAUGGUUCCUAAAAGGGCACUAAUUAAUCUACAUUGAUCAGUUCCCUAUAUUUGUAUUAAUGUGCAUGUACACGAUUCUGUGAAUGACAAUUAGGCUAGAUUGCUUCAAAUCUUGUGAAUGACAGAGCUAGAUUGUAAAUUUAAGUUGAAGAAAUAUAAAACAAAAAGAAAAAGAAAAUGGAUUGGCUCCUUUAAGAGUAUCAGACUUCUAAACCCCAAGGAUUACAUAAUUUUCAUAUCCUUUGCCACACAAAGAAGUGGCAUAGCCUUAACAAUGAAGUGUUGGAAAAACUCCAGAAGGACUGUGCAAUCCAUGAAAUCACAAAAUCCGCUUGCUAUACCAUGCAUUAAUGUGUAUGUCCUUGAUGAUUAACAUAAUGAAAUCAUGGUUCUAGGCCUUGAAGGAAGGAAUAAGAGCGAAAGUGGAGCUAGCAACAAAAUUUGCAAUCAGUUAUCAGGAUGGGAAAUUUGAUGUAUGUGGUGAUCCAGCCUAUGUGAGGGCUUGUUGUGAAGCGAGUUUGAAGCGGCUUGAUGUGGACUGCAUUGAUCUCUAUUAUCAACAUCGCAUCGAUACACGUGUGCCCAUUGAAGUCACGGUUUGCUCCAUUUUGCCUUUCUUGUUUUUUAGCUCCACCUCAUUCUUGAUGAAACAAAAGUUUGAUCAACUCCAAAUUUAGAAUAAUUCAGUUUCAUGUCCGUUUCAAUUCUUCAAAAAUUGCACAGAAAAGUUAGUCAACCUUAUGGUCUAGGCUAAUCUGCAGUAUGGUAUUGCUGAAUUAGCACAAGGCAUCCUGAAAAGUGAAAACAAUGAAAAUGUCUUAUAUUAGCUUGACAGUCCUGCUGAGGGAUAUACAGGUUGAUAUCAUGCUAUACAUUAUACAGCUUUCGUUUAGAACCAAGAGACCUGAGCAUUCUUUUUCAUUUGAGAUAGGCUAUCCAGUUGAGAUAUACUAUUUACUUACCUUGUCAAUCGUUUUCAGUCGGUGCCAAAAGCACUGCAGAUAGACGUUUUUUAGUCAAUAUCUAAAAACAUGGUACUCAUUUUGUUCAGAGUAUAGCUUUUUGUCUAAUUGUGAAAGCCAACUGCAACUGCCUCAUUGACCUCUCCAAGCAAUUCAAAGAUUUCAGCAGCUUGCUUACAUUAAGCUUUUAUGAAACGAUUUCUCUGUCUUCUUUUUCUCAUGUAGUCAGCAAAGAAUUGUCUUGUUUUCCCUGAGUAUUAGGAAGAAACUUUCUUGCAGUUUAAUCACUCAAAAUACAGGCAAGUAUAAAGGAAAUCAAGCAAAAUUGGCAACUGAUAAUUGCUGCGUACAGCCAUUAUUAUAUAUAUAAGUCAACAAUGUCAUGUAAUCAUAUUGGAGGAGCAUUAUGUUGGCAUGGUCCAGUAGAACUAAGUCAUCCGUUGGGCUGUACAUAGAGAACUAUCACUGGAUGCUUAUUGCCAUUUUCAUCAACUAGGGAUUUCAGUUUGACGUAUACUUUGUCCAAGACUUCGUUGAACUAGUGCAACUUUUACUUGUUCCACGUAAUAUUUCGAUUAUCUGCCUAAGUAUUGAAUGUAAUAAAUCAGCUUCGCAUCUUCUUGUCCAUUGAAAUUCUCUAGAUUGGAGAGCUCAAGAAACUGGUUGAAGAGGGUAAAAUAAAGUAUAUAGGUCUGUCUGAGGCCUCAGCUUCAACAAUUCGAAGAGCACAUGCUGUUCAUCCAAUAACAGCUGUACAGUUGGAGUGGUCAUUGUGGACCAGAGAUGUCGAGGAAGAGAUUAUUCCCGCUUGCAGGUAGUGCGUAUAUUCUGCUGCAUUUUCUACAUGGUCUAGAAGAAAUAUGAAGUUCUCAAUUCAGUUUUUGGUAUAAUCUUUCAGAGAUCUUGGCAUAGGGAUUGUUGCAUAUAGUCCACUUGGACGAGGUUUCUUCUCAUCAGGUCCAAAGCUGAUCGAGAAUUUGGCUGAAGGUGACUUCCGAAAGGUUUGUGCAUAGCCAAAAAGAUUGUUUAUAGUUCGAAUAAGUUUCUCACUCAGUGGCAAUCUUGCUUGAUCACAUUUAAUCAAAUUUCUAUUAAGCAUAGCAAUUCAACGGGUUUUUUUUUGUUUUCUUCUUGAACAAGUCUUGAACUCUUUAGUUUGAUUCAAUGAAUGCAGAUUUUGGUGUCCUCGGUACUUAGUUCAAAUUAAAAGAUAUAGCACUAGCUUUGUCAAAUUUUAGAUCUUAUAUGAAUUGAAGGUUGUUAUUGCAUGCUGGAAAUUUAUAUAGAGGACAACAAUCGCAAGCAAUGGAUGGUAUUGAAUUUUAAAGUGCAAAGACGUCCUAAGAUGUCAAAACAGGAAGAAACUAUGCCAGUUUUUAAGUAAAAGUCUCUUUACUGUUUUGAGGGGAAAUGGGCCUUAGACUUCAAUUUCAUCAUUUAGUCUCAGGCACAGAACUUAUGUUGUCUUGUGAAACUAUCAUUUUUCUUUUACCAUUAAUCCUAAAACUGAGUUUCAUUGGUCAGAACUCAGAAGUAUACUUCAUAGUUGAUUUGUAUUUUAAGUUUCCUCUUUGAUGGGAAAUAUAUCUCAGAACUUAACUCCAACAGUUGAUGAUUCCUACUUGGGAGUAUUCAGUCCACCUUGAUGCAUUGUUCUUUCCCCUGAACUUGUGCCCUUCAAACAAUAUUUCUGAUCAUCUUGAAGUAAUUAGUACCGUCUGUUCAUUACUCCCUUCUGAUUUCUUGCAUUAUAGUUUCCUCUUUAAUGGGAAAUGUAUCGCAGGAUCUACCUUCUACAAUUGAUGUUUCUUUCCCCUGAAGUUAUUCGUAACGUCUUCUGGCAUUAUAGUUGCUUAAAUUUUGAAAUUCAUACAAUGCAGUAUAUGCCAAGGUUUCAAGCAGAGAAUUUGGAGCACAACAAGAACUUGUACGAGCAGGUCAAUGCCAUUGCUUCAAGGAAGGGUUGUACUCCAUCACAGCUAGCACUGGCCUGGGUCCAUCACCAAGGCAAUGAUGUUUGCCCCAUACCGGGCACUACCAAGAUUGAGAACCUCAAUCAGAAUAUAGGAGCUUUGUCUGUAAAACUGUCUGCAGAGGAAAUGGCGGAACUUGAAUCCAUCGCUUCUGCAGGAGUCAAGGGUGAUAGGUAUGGGCCUGGCCUUGUUACUUGGCAAACUUCUGAAACUCCACCUUUGUCAACCUGGAAGAGGACAUGAAGACAUAUCUUUGUUAUGGCAAUAAUUCCUUCUAGCUAUGUGCCUGAGGGUGGAUUUCAGUAUAUUGACAGUUGAGUGACGUAUUUGUUCCAAUAAAUUUCGUCAUACUAUUGUCUCGAGGUUUUAGGCAAGUAAAGUUAUAAGAAGAAUGCGUUAAAGGUUUCUUCAGAGGUUGUACUGAAUAAAAAUCUGAUCAUGUAAAAAUAGAACAUAAUUUUCCUUGCAGUUGAAUGCGUUAAAGGUUAGCUAUUCUAGUUUUGAAUGCUAUAGCAGUCCAUUUCUUAUAUGCUACACUGUUACAAGAGAUAUAGACUGUCGAACAGCAUUUUAUGGUCGGAAUGUUUACAUCAAAAGCAUCUCCAAGGACAUGUCAUUCUAAAGUGUAUAAACUACAUCAUACCAACAAAAAGCAGAAAAAGGCCUAAGGUAUGGGAUAUUUCUAAAAUUUCAUGGGAGGCUUGUGAUAGCAAAAACUUCUGAAAUUGUCCCUUGAACUAAACUGAAAGACAGACAAUGGUAAGAUUUUAAGCAUGUCUUGUUAAGUUAAAAGGUUAAAACUUUACAUACAAAUAAAUGGUCAAAUUCACUUUAAAAUUGUGGUGUCAUCUUCCACCUUAAACUUUUGUACUAUCCAAGUUUGUUUUAAUUCCUUUGGGAAAAUGAAACAUCGAAUGCAUUCAAAAAAAUGGAAAGGAAAUGGCUUACCUUUGCACUUACGUAUCCAAUUCCAAUUUGAACAUUACAUCAUCCAUCCAAUUGAAAACAAACUCCUAUGGAGAUUUUUUUUUUUCCUUUAUUUUGUUAUUAGAUCUGAAUUUAUUUCACAUUUGGUUGUCAGAUCUAAAAUUUUUUUCAAAGUUUGAAUCUAUUUCAAUAUAUUUCAUUAUCAUUAUUGAAACUUAAAACAGUUUAUUAACAAAUCUGGCGAUUGCCAUAUGUACGAAAGGGAGACACUUUUAAAAUUCUUUAUAUUUUUUUAGAUCUGUUUGUAAUUUUCAAUUCUACUGUAUCUGUUAAAUUAUGAUCUGUAAUUUUUAAUGCAUGUUUGACCUACCAUUAGGGGAGUUAUGUAAAUCAAAUCAUGUUAGAUGAUUUCCAAAAAAAACUUAACCGUUAAUUUCUCUUCCCCGUUUUAUUUGUCCACUCUUCAAUUGUCAAUAACUCUUUUAAGAUACUUUGUAAUACAAAAUCAACUAAAACCGGUAGAAUCUGUAAUUAAUAGCAGUAUUCAUAUCAUGUUUUUGUAUAUUACUCGUACAUCUAAUUAGUCACAUUUGGAGAAAGAAAAAAAAAAGAUGAAAAUAAAAUUCCCCGAAUUUUGUGGUUUUUUUUGGUGCCUUGUUUAAUCUCUAAUUUUGUUUUUUGGGUUUUUAUUUUAAUCGAUUUUGGUUAUAGAGAUUAAGUUUCUCAGCCCGAUUAAUCGGUUAAUUAAUUAAACAUGGUUUGAGUUGGGUUGGUUUAGAGAUUUGGUUUAUAAAAGGACACUUGGCAAGUUUAGAAGGGGUGGGAUAGGGAAUGAGACAGGGUGUGAUACAGAGAUCCGUUGCGCAUGGCGAGCCACAUUUAAAAAUUGGUUCCUACCAUAAAGCCUAUCAUGUCCUGACACAAGAUGGACUGUUUUUUUAAAUUUUUUUUGAAAGCAAGUGAAAAGUGUUGCAACUCAGGACUUGGAUAGUAAUUUUAAAAUUUAAUAGUGCACCUACCUUUUAACUUUUUUCGUGUGCUUUUAAGGUAUCAAAUGGGGAAAAAAACCAAUACCAUAUAACUUCAAAUGCAAGAUGGUACGAAAUUUGUUAAUAUGGAGAUGUUAAUAUACAUUGACAUGUAAAAAGUGCACUUUUAUCAAAAAGAUAUUUAUACUAAUAUUACAGUCAUUUUUUUUUCGAAAAUUCAACUUUUCAUGCAAAUAUGUAAUCAAUAUGCAUAAAUAGAUAGCAUUAGAUGAAUUUAAACAAGUAGCCUUCAAAUUUAAAAAUAUUUGAUUUCGUAAAUGUGCAUUCGCGAUUUAGAAAAAGUACUUUUCAAAUGGCAAAUCUAGAGAGCAAUAAAUACUCCUAGUUUAUUUUGAUUUUAAAUCUUCUUUUGACUUGUCAAAAAAGUGAAAACAUGAAACUAAUAAUGGGUCAGAUGCAGAUGAGUAUUAGAAAUUUGUUUUCUAGACUCUUUGGUCUCGCAAUUUUUUCAACAAUCAACUCCGACCAUUAUCACGGUCAUGUGAUUGUAGGUCUACCAGGUUUCGUAGUCCACGACAUGGAUUGGAUAUGUUGAUUAGCUGCCACCUUUUGGCGGAGGUGAGGUUCAAACCUCACCUGUAGUAAAAAAAAAAAAUUUAAGGGUUGUGUCAUAGUACUUUCUUGAUUUAGUUGAAUAUGUAUAUCCACUAACACCUAACACAAGUCUCCUUAUGCUCCCCUAGAUUAGGAUAGAAUAGGAUAUACAAUUGUAUCGUUGCCGAAAAAAAAUAUUAGUUGCCACCCUAUUGUCAUUAUUUUUCUUUUGUCAAUCAGCAACGUCUAUUCUAUUCAUAGUUAUUAAACCCGGCCCGGGAAGGAGUCCGGUGAAAGAGCUGAGUCAACGGGUUACUGGUUUAACCGGUGGGUGAGUGGUCCAACCGUUAGGUCACUACAUAUAUUUAAAUAUUAUGUUUUAUAAUUUUUUACGCCAUAAUAAAUAUUCAGUUAGUUUAAUUUAUUAUAGAUUCAUUAAUUUUUAUAAGAAUUAACAACCUAAAUUUAAUUAGUAAUCCACCAACUUUCAAGUAUAAAAUUUUAUCUCAGUGUAAUUAUCUAGUUUAUUUAUGAAUUUUAAGUGCAAAAGUUUAUUAAGAAUAAUAUUGGCCUUUAAAAUGAUUUGUGUAAUAUGUUAUUUUUAAGUCAAUUUCAUAAUUUAUAGAGUUCAGGGAAUAAUAAAAAUAUUAUUAAAAGAUUCCAAAUAACUAAUACUCUAAUAUAUAGUAUAAGAACAAAAUAAUUAAUAUAUGGUUGGCUGGUCUAGUGGUAAUGGUAGUCUACUUUUUUGCAUGAGAUCACGUGUUCGAAUCUCCAUUCUAGCAAUAUUUAUACAUUUUUUUCUUUUUCGUAGAACGGGUUCAAUGUUGAAACGAUCUUAUCAAGAACUCGGCUCGGUUUCAUGGCCGGUUUACCGGAUUGAUCGAUUGAACUGCCGGGCCGGGUCGGAUUUAAUAACUAUGAUUCUACUUCUAUUUUGAUUUCUAUUUUAGGGGAAGGGGAGGUCCAAUUGAAAAAUUGAUAGCUAUUGAACCAUCAUCGGAUAAAAUGAGUGCACUAUGCACGUAUGCGAAUCUAGGAGAAGCCGGCGCAAUGAUGGGAGGCAAUGUUUGAAUUUUUACCUGUCAUUCCACUAAGAUUUAUAGUCUUUGGUGGUGGCUAAUCACCCAAAGAGCUGUUGGUUAGCUCCCACCCUAUUAGAAACUAAAGGUUUUCAACCUUCUAAAAAAAAUGUUUUUGACUUUAAAAAAAAAUGUUUUUGUUUUUGUUUUUUCAAAAAUUAUUUUCAUCUAUCACCAACGGCAGUCAUGGGUUAUUUAUCCAAACAUAGAUCCGAACAACACUAAUCUCUCAGCAGCCAUCCCCUCAUUCCUUCUUGUAUCCUUUUUAUGAAUAGGAUUCAUCUUUUUGGUGUUCUAAAAUCACAUUUAAAAAGUUUUUUUCCCGAAAGUGUUAUUAUUUAGGAUGUGAAUGUUAAUUUUAAAAUUUUAAUAGUGGACCUAAAAAAAACUUGUAAAUUUUACAUAUGAGCACAAAGGGAAAAAAAACACCACAUAACUUCAAGUCCAAGAUUGUAUGCAGUUUGUCCAAUAAAUAGAUAUUCAUAAUUCAUAAUUUCAUAUAUACAUGUUAACUAAAAGCGUUAAUCACAAUCCAAUUAUAUUGAUCUGUUCAAACCCGUUCACUAAUAAUCCGUCCAAAUUGGCCCAUUAACUUUAAAUGGGUUAAAGUGAGUAUAUAAGUAAACCCAUUUAAUUGGUGGAUAGUUGAUUGAUUCGUCUUACCCAUUUAUACCUAUUUAAAAAUAAAUAUACAUUUAAACUCAAAUUUUACUAAAUGUUAAGAAGAUAAAUUUGAAUUUCCUACGAAUCUAAUAAUAAUAAAAUAUCAUUUUUCUUGUCAAACAACAUGUGAAAUAUAAAAAAAAAAGUAGAAUUUCAAAUUAAUCAUAAAUGAGUAAUUGAGUAUUCUCAUAUCUAUUUGUUAAAUGGAUAUAAAUGAAUUGAUUCAAUUAUAACUAUUACUCAACUAGAAUCCGCUCAAACCCGUCUAAGUUAAUCAUUUGACACCCCUAAUGUUAAUAUAUAUUGACAAGUGAAAAGUGCAGCAUUUAUCACGAAGAUAUACUUAUUUAUCUCAAUAUUAAAGUCAUUUUUUCAUUACAAAAAUAUUGAUAAUUUCAUAAUUUCAUGGAAGUAUGUAACCAGUGACAUAACAUAGUCGCCAGUGGCGAAUCUUGUCACGAGUCCUCUUUUCAACACUUUGAUUAUGGGAUACACUUUUAACAAUAUGCCCCCACGUUGUUUUUCGAUCACUUUUUUUUUUUAAACCUCACAUUCGUUCGUUAUGUAUGUAUAAUUUCUUUUCAAAAAACUCCAAAAAAGUGGCAGCCCAAACGGGGCCAACAAUCUACUAUGUUCGGCUGUUCUCCCGCCGGACCCACCGCCGGCGGCCAAUAGCCGCCGGACCCACCGGCCGCCGGCGGCCAUGGCCAUGGGUCAUCUAUAAAAGCAUAGAUCAAGACUACACUAAUCCCUCAUCAGUCCAGUCCAUCCAUACUUCUUCUUCAGGCCUCAGCUACUAAACAAUAAACUCUGCUCCACUCAAUUCUUUCCUCUGUUUCUUGUGGUUUUUGUCUGAAAAUGGCGGCAUCAGAAGAAGUGAAAGUGCCAAGAAUCAAGCUGGGGUCGCAAGGUUUUGAAGUUUCAGCUCAAGGGCUGGGCUGCAUGGGCAUGUCAGCCUUCUACGGGCCGCCAAAGCCCGAGCCUGAUAUGAUCAAACUCAUCCACCAUGCUAUUAGCAGAGGCAUCACCCAUCUUGACACCUCCGAUAUCUAUGGACCUCACACCAACGAAAUACUCAUUGGCAAGGUACCGUAUUUGCAAAUUUUCUGCUGUUGUGUGCCAUGCAUAAACUCUUGUACUUCUAAUUUCUAAAAGAGCAUAUUUGUAAGUAUUUUAGUUGGGUAUAUUAUAUUUAAACCCCUGCACUUGAAAUCUUGUCGCCCUUUAUAUUAUAUACGACAACUGGUCACAUCAAAGUGAAAGAGGAGGGCACUGUAAUUUUUUAUAUUGAAAGGUAUUUAUGUGUAAUUAUCAGAAACUUCAGGGGAGGUUUCUGAAAUUAUCCCUAAUAUUUAUACUAUAUAUAAAGGGAGCCUUAAAUUUGGUGUAAACCUUUUUUUGUCAUCUUUUAGAUUUCCAGCUUCACCCUCUCGAUCACUUAAUCAUACCACCAUAUUGCUAAUCAGCUUAACCACAAAUUAACUUUCACCCCAAUUAUCUAAAUAUAUAUUGCCUACAUAACUACCUACAAACAUUGUAACCAACAAGUUAAUUAAAAUUCUAUUAAAGAACUAUUUUUUUGACAAAUAUUCAAAAAACUAGUAAAAGAACUAUAUUGUCUCCCUUAAUUUUGUUUGUCAGCACUUAAACUCCAUCUGUUUAAAUUGUAAGUAUUAUUAGUCAAAUAAGACAAUAAUAUUCUUCAUUUUUUCAGAUGUUUGUCCUCAAUUGUAAGAGAAGGUCGUAGGUCUAGCACAUACGUUGAAUAGCUGUAUCCGAUUAGAAGGAUUUAGAACUCUUCUACCAUCUCUUUUUUUUUUUCUUUUGUUUUUUCCUUCAAAAUUCUACAUCAUAAUGGAGUUGGUAAAAUAGUACUAUUUUCGUCUUUGAAGUUAAAAUUGUCAUCAAUUUAUGGAAAGUUUACUAUUACUCUGAUAAGAGAUGUUAAAAUUUACUUUUUACGAGCACUAAAGUUUUAAAGAUUAUGAAAAGAGAAUUGUAUGAAGGAAUAGAAGGGAAAAGAAAGGUAAGAAAAUGGAUGGAUUGUGUUUGGAUUGAUUUUGGGUGGGGAAAGGAGAGGAAACGGAAAGAAAAGGAAAUGGAUGGAUUGUGUUUUGCUCAGACAUCAUUUCCAUACAAAAAUAGACGGAAACAGAGGGAAAGAAAAUCUAGUUGAUGAUUUUCUUAUAAAAUGCCUCAAGCACCCAAAUUUUACAUAAACUUGAGUAACCAUGUGUUUCAUAUCUGUAGAACUUGCCAUUUGUGAAACCUGCUUUAGAUAUGAAUUGUGGGAUGCAACAGCAGGCUAGGAAUGUUUGACUAAGCAACUUAUGUAAAUAUUUUAUCGUUAAGUGAAGUUCCUCUUUUGCUGUUCAAAAAAAAAAAAAAAAAGAGAGAGAGAAAAACCAUUCCUUUAAUGUCUGUCAUUCUACCAAACAGCAGAUUUAGGUUUUCUUUCUUUCCCAUCCAUAUCUAAUCCAAAUAAGGCAAAUGAGAACUAUUUUCCACUACUCUCCUUUCCUUUCUUUUUCACUAGGAUGUUUUAUUUAUUUAUUUAUCCUUUCCUUUGAUCCAAAUGGUUCCUAAAAGGGCCCUAAAUAAUUAUUCUACAUUGAUCAGUUCCCUAUUUUUGUAUUAAUUUGCAUGUGCACGAUUCUGUGUAUGUUCAUGUUGUGCAUCAAAUCUUGUGAAUGACAAAGCUAGAGUGUAAAUUUAAGUUGAAGAAAUAUAAACCAAAAAAGAAAAUGGAUUGGCUCCUUUAAGAGUAUCAGACUUCUAAACCCCAAGGAUUACAUAAUUUUCAUAUCCUUUGCUAUACAAAGAAGUGGCAUAGCCUUAACAAUGAAGUGCUGGAAAAACUCCAGAAGGACUGUGCCAUCCAUGAAAUCACAAUUCCGCUUGCUAUACCAUGCAUUAAUGUGUAUGCCCUUGAUGAUUAAUAUAAUGAAAUCAUGGUUCUAGGCCUUGAAGGAAGGAAUAAGAGCGAAAGUGGAGCUAGCAACAAAAUUUGCAAUCAGUUAUCAGGAUGGGAAAGUUGAUGUACGUGGUGAUCCAGCCUAUGUGAGGGCUUGUUGUGAAGCGAGUUUGAAGCGGCUUGAUGUGGACUGCAUUGAUCUCUAUUAUCAACAUCGCAUCGAUACACGUGUGCCCAUUGAAGUCACGGUUUGCUCCAUCUUGCCAUCCACCUCAUUCUUGAUGAAACAAAAGUUUGAUCAACUCCAAAUUUCGAAUAAUUCAGUUUCAUGUGCGUUUCAAUUCUUCAAAAAUUGCACAGAAAAGUUAGUCAACCUUAUGGUCUAGGCUAAUCUGCAGUAUGCUAAAUCUUAUUUAGCACCAGGCACCCUGAAAAGUGAAAACAAUGAAAAUGUCUUAUAUUAGCUUGGCAGUCCUGCUGAGGGAUAUACAGGUGGAUAUCAUGCUAUACAUUGUACAGCUUUCCUUUAGAAGCAAGAGACCUGAGCAUUCUCUUUCAUUUGAGAUAGGCUAUCCAGUUGAGUAAUGAUAUGCUAUUUACUUACCUUGUCAUUCGUUUUCAGUCGGUGCCAAAAGCACUGCAGAUAGAAGUUUUUUAGUCGAUAUCUAAAAAACGUGGUACUCAUUUUGUUCAGAGUAUAGCUUUUUGUCUAAUUGUGAAAGCCAGCUGCGACUACCCCAUUGACCUCUCUAAGCAAUUCAAAGAUUGCAGCUGCUUGCUUACAUUCAGCUUUUAUGAAAACAAUUUCUGUCUUCUUUUUCUAAUAUAGUCAGCAAAGAAUUGUCUUGUUUUUCCUGAGUAUUAGGAAGAAACUUUCUUGCAGUUUAAUCACUUAAAAUACAGGCAAGUAUAAAGGAAAUCAAGGAAAUUGACAACUGAUAAUUGAUAUGUACAGCCAUUAUUAUAUCUAGACGAAGUCAACAAUGUCGUGUAAUCAUAUUGGAGGAGCAUUAUGUUGGCAUGGUCCGGUGGGCUGUACAUAGAGAAGUAUCACUGGAUGCUUAUUGCCAUUUUUGUCAAUUAUUGAUUUCAGUUUGACGUAUACUUUGUCCACGACUUCAUUGAACUAGUGCAACUUUUACUUUUUUGCACGUAAUAUUUCGAUUAUCUGCCUAAGUAUUGAAUGUAAUAAAUCAGCUUUGCAUUUUCUUGUCCAUUGAAAUUCUCUAGAUAGGAGAGCUCAAGAAACUGGUUGAAGAGGGUAAAAUAAAGUAUAUAGGUCUGUCUGAGUCCUCAGCUUCAACAAUUCGAAGAGCACAUGCUGUUCACCCAAUAACAGCUGUGCAGUUGGAGUGGUCAUUGUGGAGCAGAGAUGUCGAGGAGGAGAUUAUUCCCACUUGCAGGUAGUGCAUAUAUUCUGCUGCAUUUUCUACGUGGUCUAGAAGAAAUAUGAAGUUCUUAAUUCAGUUUUUGGUAUAAUCUUUCAGAGAGCUUGGAAUAGGGAUUGUUGCAUACAGUCCACUUGGAAGAGGAUUCUUCUCUUCAGGUCCAAAGCUGGUCGAGAAUUUUACUGAAGGUGACCGCCGAAAGGUUUGUGCAUAUCCAAAACUAUGGAGUUUUUGAGUAUAGAUUGUUUAUAGUUCGAAUAAGUUUCUCACUCAUCUAGUUUUACCACAUUCAGUGACAAUCUUGCUUGAUAUCCCUAUUCUUGUCUAUCUGUCAUAUGUUGCUGCACUUUUUGAUGUCCAAUAAUUUGAUUAAGCCUUAUAAUAUGAUCACAUUUAAUCAAAUUUCUAUUAAGCAGAGCAAAUCAACAGGCUUUUUUUUUUUUCCUGUCGAACAAGUCUUGAGGUCUUUAGUUGAUUGAAUGAAUUCAGAUUUUGGUGUCCUCUGUAUUUAGUUCAAAUUAAAAGAUAUGGCGCUAGCUUUGUCAGAUUUUAGAUCUUAUAUUAAUUGAAGGUUGUUAUUGCAUGCUGGACAACAAUCACAAGCAAUCGAUAGUAUCGAAUUUUAAAGUGCAAAGAUGUCCUAAGACGUCAAAACAGGAAGAAACUAUGUCACUUUUUAUGUAAAAGUCUCUUUUCAGUUUUGAGGGGAAGUGGACCUUGGACUUCAAUUUCAUCAUUUAGUCUCAGGCACAGAAUUUCAUCAUUUUGUCCUGUGAAACUAUCAUUUUUCCUUUACCAUUAAUCCUAAAACUGAGUUUCAUUGGUCAGAAGUGUACUUCUUAGUACAAACAAUAGUUGAUAUGCAUUUUAAGGUUCCCCUUUGAUGGGAAAUGUAUCUCAGAACUUAACUCCAACAGUUGAUGUUUCCUACUUGGAUUAUUCAGUCCACCUUGAUGCAUUGUUCUUUGCCCUGAACUUGUGUCCUUCAAACAAUAUUGCUGAUCAUCUUGAAGUAAUGUACCGUCUGUUCAUUUCUCCCUUCUGAUUUCUUGCAUUAUAGUUUGCUCUUUAAUGGGAAAUGUAUCUCAUGAUCUACCUUCUACAAUUAAUGUUUCUUAAGAGUACUCAGUCCAGCUUACUGGAUUGUUCUUUCCCCUGAACUUUGUACACCUCAAACAAUACUAUUGAUCAUCUUGAAGUUAUUCAUAUUGUCUUCAUUUGUAGACGACACAUGCUUCACUUCCUUUUGCAUUUCUGGCGUUACAGUAGCAUAAAAUUUUGAAAUUCAUACAAUGUAGGGUAUGCCAAGGUUUCAAGCAGAGAAUUUGGAGCACAACAAGAACUUGUACGAGCAGGUCAAUGCCAUUGCUUCAAGGAAGGGUUGUACCCCAUCACAGCUAGCUUUGGCCUGGGUCCAUCACCAAGGCAAAGAUGUUUGCCCCAUACCUGGCACUACCAAGAUUGAGAACCUCGAUCAGAAUAUAGGAGCUUUGUCUGUGAAACUGUCGGCAGAGGAAAUGGCGGAACUUGAAUCUAUUGCUUCGGCUAUCAAGGGUGAGAGAUACGAGUCUGACGCUGGGCUUGGUACUUGGAAAACUUCUGAAACUCCGCCUUUGUCAACCUGGAAGCGGACAUGAAGACAUACCUUUGUUAUGGCAAUAAUUCCUUCUAG
RNAcentral lists this long non-coding RNA (56834 nucleotides) under Coffea arabica (coffee). Its description in RNAcentral is "long non-coding RNA (CARA_LNC002188)". The record is from RNAcentral. Lineage: Eukaryota; Viridiplantae; Streptophyta; Magnoliopsida; Gentianales; Rubiaceae.